UUUUUUUUUUUUUUUUAUUUCCUCUACCCCCAAGUAGUGAAGGACAUCCAACAUUGAAUUUGUAGCCUUUAUGGCCUACCCUGCCUUCAUGAUCACAUCAUUUUGGUAGUGGUCACUGUCUACUCGCAUGAAAUAUAGUAGCUAGGCAAGGAAAGUUCGAGUCUUGAUUUGGUCAUGUGUAGUAGUUUUAGGAUGAAUAUUGUAGAAAGCAAUGAAAGUAAUCAUGUUUGAAUAUUAAUAAAGUUUAUGAGAAUUUCAUCGAAAUCUACAUUCUACAUUAAAUUUCUUUUUGAUCGUGUUUUAUUUUCGCUUACUAGUUGUCUGACACGUCACUUCAUGGAGAAUGUUGCAUUGGAGAUCUAGGUGGUCGCAUCAUAAUUCCAUAUAAAUUGAGAUCGAGGCGUGACAAUAUUCAAUAGGAACAAUCUUACUAACAAUCAAGUAUCUGACCUUUAAUAUAAGCCAAAUCAAACCUAAACAUAAUACCAAUCAUUAUAAUUUUAAUCAUAAAAACUACCAAUUAUUAUCAAUUUUAUCUACCAAUCUUUUAAAUCAAAAUUCCAACUUAAGUCCCAAUUAAUUACCUAAGUGAUAUUCACGGAAAAAAUCGAAGUCAACCUACUAAACAAUGAAAUAAACGCCUCCAAAAAGCUCCAAAUUAAAUCCAAUUAAUCCUCCAAUGUAAAAAAAACAACCUCAAAUUAAUCCCUAAUAGAUAUCCAAAAUUCAUCAAGAAAAUUUCCAAAAUCUUACCAACUCACUCACUUAAAAUCUGAAGCAAAACGGAGUAGAUCAGCGGCGGUGCAGAUCUAUGAUGGCUCGUAGAGGAGUGGCGUGCUUGGGCGUGUGGCGGAGAAGACGACUGGCUUGUGUCGUCUGACGAGGGACAACAAUGUUUGAAUGGUGACCACAAGUGACGACAAGAGAGCUAGCGACCGACAAAAAGAAAAUCGAAAGGAGAGGGGGGUUGGCCGACGACGACUAGAAGAAGAAGAAAGACACAUAUACAUACACAUAUGUUGUAUAUAUCUAUCUAUUUAUCUAUCUAUCUAUCUAUCUAUCAAUAUAUAUAUAUAUAUAAUAUUUUGGAAGAUUAUCAAAAAUAGCAAAAUUGAAAAAAUAUUUACCUUUUAUAGAAAAAUCAAAGGUUAAUUUUCAUAAAUAUAACAAAACACCAAAAUAUUUACCGUCCAUGUAACAAAAUCAAAAAGCCCAUGAAGUCGGCCAUUUUUUAAAAAUAUUCUAGGUUUGUCCUUUCUUUUCAUCUUCUUUCUUCACUUAUUCUUCUCUUCUUCUUCAAUUUUUCAUUUCCUUUUCAUUGUCUCUCUAAUCUUCUUCUUCUACAAAAUCUAACAAAUAUAAAAGAUAAUCUUUUUAAAAAAUCUUUUUUCAUUGUUACACGAUCGUUUAGAUUUGAUCUUGUACCAAAGAAUCUUGAAAAAAAAUUGUUGGAUAUUGGUACAUGAUCGAUCUAAACGAACGUAUAGCCAAAUUUAAACGAUCAUAUAUCAAAUAUAGAAGAAUCUAAAUGAUUGUGUAUCAAAUAUAGAAGAAUCUAAAUGAUUGUGUAUCAAAUAUAAUUUUUUUAUAUUAGGAUAUUGGUACACGAUUGUCUAGAUUUGACCCAAAUCUAAACAACCAAAUAUAUUACACGCACGAGUGACCAAUUAAUUGUGUUUUGGCUAGGGCAUUUUUUAUAUUUUUCAUUGUGGGCCUAUGAGCUUUUUCUGUUUCGAAAUUAUUCUAUACAUUGUUAGUAUUUUGUCAAUUUGUUAUAUUUUUCAUAAAACACCAAAAUCAAAUGUAAAUAAUACAUACACAUAGAUGACCUUUUAGGUAGAAUAAUGGGACCGAAAUGCAUGAUAAAUGUGCCAAAACGCGUAACUUAUGUUGUAAUAAUUAUUUAGAAAUGCACUUUAUAUGAACUCCAUGUCUGCUUUUACCUUGUUUUUAGUGUCUAAACGUAGGAUUAUUAACAAAAGAACAAGCUGACAAAUCGCAGAGAAACCCACGAAGAGAUAAUGCGAGAAGAACAAAUCAUUAUGCAAGAAGAGGUUUGCUAGAAGACAAAAGUGGUAGAUGGAGUGAUAUGACUUGACAAAAAGGAUAGCUUUCAACAUUGCAUGGUCAACAUGAUAGAUUUCCUACCAAAAGCUGCCUAUAAAAGAAGCUCCAUCACCACCAGAGAAUGGUGUAAGGCCUGUAUAGGCCAUAAGGCAAGACGUUUGGAUUGAUCAACCGUUUCUAAAGAGUUGGUGACAAGGAUUAGCCUUACCACCGGUUGUAAAGUCCAUUCUUUUCUUCUCCGUUCAAUAUGUAAAGUGAGAGCUUGUGGUCUAAGUGAAGAAGAUGUCAUCCCCCAUUCCCCCUAACUUGUAUUUUUUUUUUUUAUCUCUUUCCAUUUUUUAUUAUUUCUUUAAAUUGUAUUUGUUUAUAUUUUACAGUGGCCGAAGGCCUAUAUUCUUUAAUACAAUGUAUGCUUUUACACAUUUCAAUCCAUCCAUCUCUUUAAUUGUUGUUCAUCUCUCUGUAUGUUAUUUGUAGUUUAGGUUUGUGAUUCAUGUUUAACAAGCGUAGUUUAGCUUAUAGUGCUUGUUGCAUUAGCAAAACUACAUUUUACACUUGACCAGUUUAUGUCGUCAACUGUCCGAGAGAGUAAGUAGCAAGGACGUUGCUAACACAAGCAAGGAAGAGUUUUCUCGACUUUGACAAGAUGACUUCCUUCGUUUGUAUCCCAAAGGGUGAACAUGUGUGGACACUAGGGUCUGAGAGGUUACCGUCCUUAAAUGUGAAGCACUCCAAAUAGUAUAAGUAAACAAUGCUAGAUAUAACUUGCUUAACUAGAUUUAGUCAUUUGGAUCUCGAAAGAAGACUAAGUAUAACAUUUAAUGACUUAAAGAGGAGCGCGCCUUAAUCCGAAGCAAGUUUUUGAACCCCACCAUUAAUCCAAAAUUUCUCCAAAUUAAAUAUAUACCAAUAUAUUUAAUAAUUUUUUCUUUCCUCGUUAAAUCAACUUUUCUCCUACUUAAAUAUAUUCCAAUGUAUACUUAAUACUUUUAAAUCCAAAAUCCACCAAGCCAAUUUUUUCUUAAAUACAAACUAAAAUAAUCAACCUCUUUAAUAAAUUAAUCUUAAUAAAACCAACUUAACACACUCAUUUAGUUCAAGAUAACUAAGGUAAAAUUAUCUCAAAUUUGAGAUGUCACAUUUUUAAACUAUCAAUAAGAUUUUUGGUUAAAAUCUGAUUUUGGUCCCUAAAUUUUGCAACCGGUUCUAUUUUGGUCUCUCAAGUUUUAAAAGUGUAAUUUGGUUUUUGAAAAUUUGAAAAAAACUUACUUUGGUCCUUCUUGUUAGAAUGUCAUUAACAUUUUAAAAGAAUGAUGACGUGACUUUCUAAAUUUUGUUGAUUAGACUCUAGACUCAUUAUAUUAGUUAAAUUGAUAAAUAAUCAACAAAUCUGGCUAAUUUAUUAUAUAAAUCUUUUAUGAUAACAUAGAAAUAUAAUUAAGACAUGUGAAUUAAUUAAACCCAAAUUAAAACAAACUUAAACCAAAUGAGAAAAACAACAUUGAGUAGAAUAAAAAAAAAAUAGAAUUGACAUAUUGGUGUUUAACAUUCAUGACAAGGUAAAAUAAACUAAAAAAAUAAAAUAAGUACAACACUUGUUUAAAAUAAACUCUAAGAAAUUGUAAACAAAUAUAUAUUCCUACCCUGAAAAUCAUAAAACUUCAAAAGAAAGAAAUAAAUAAUUAGGAGGAAAAAAAAAAAGUCAUUCAAUGUAUCACAAAAUAUCUCAUAAACUCGAGGCACAAAAAAAUUUAUAUGUGUGAAUGAAUUGCAUCAAACAUAUGAGUUGAGAAAGUGAAGUAGGAUGACAAUACCAAAAAAUGGUAAUGAUCAAAAUUUAGAAGACGAUACCUUUUUAGUUCUAUGAUAAAACAUCAAUUUACCAUCUAUCCUUUAACUAAAAAAUUAAAACUUUAGAUGAUUAAGUGAUUAUCUUAUUUGGUAUCCUAUUCAUCCAAAUGCAGAAGUUCCCUCAUCAUUAACGUAAUCUUAAUGGUAAUGACCAAAAUAUAUUGUUUAAAAAAGUUUAGGAACCAAAAUAGAAUAAGAUACUAAGUUUAGGGAUGACUUAGACCUAGUUUUUUUUUUUUGUAAGUACAAUAAUUUAUACAAAAUCAGAAGGACCAAACCAUAAUAUUUGAGAUGAAAAAGUUUAUUUAUUGUAUACAUGUCUUCAACUUUUACAAUGGAAAAUUGGACGUGAGAACCGAUCCUCAUUAUUUACAGAACACGUUGAUCGAUUACAGCAUGCAAUGAGAUUGAAUGCUGUAACUCAAUGAUUUGUUGAGCCAUUUCUUCCAAUGAUUUCUCCCCUUUUCUUCUUCCCUUUGCCUUGACAUUUUCUCGUUAAGCAAUAAUGAAUGUGGACUCCCUUGCUUUUUACAUAGCAAAAAGUGCCUUACUUGCUUUGAUCCUAUACUUUCCCUUGGGCUUAGAGCUGUUAGAAAAAGAAUGAAAGCAAAUUGAGUUGUUUGAUAAUGUUAAAAGAAAAUUAAAAAAAGAAGUGUUAUAUGAAAGACAUACCAUCCCUUUUUUCAUCGUUAACACAAAAGAGAAUAAAGUUAUCAACAUUAGUUCCAAGAAUAGGAAGACGAGCUUGACGAGCAUAUAAUGUAAGAGAAGUCUUGAUAAUCUCACAAACCAAAUCAUCUUCAUUUGCCACAAAUCUAAUUGGUCCUGUGCUCCCAAUGACAUUGAUAGACACCAAAAAUCUAUUACACUUUGUAUUUGUAUUCACUUUCUUACCCUUCUUUGUGGUGCUUCUCUUCAACAUACUAUUCAUUUUUUUUUGGUAAGAGAGUAUGAGAGAAUGGAAAGAAAAAGAUCAAGGUAAUUUGAUAAUCUAAAAUUUAGUUAUUGACCAACUUGCUGGAGGACGAGGACAAGAUGGAUGGAGGUUGAUGUCGAUCUGAGACGACCCAAGACAAAGGAGGAAAAUGAUCAAGAUGAAGAGAGAACGAUAUAUAUAGUUUCCACCAUCAAUAAUAUAUCGUUUCAAGGGACAUGGUCAACAUGUUCAAUAUGUGAAGUUAAAAUGUACCAGCCAUCUUUUGGUAGUCUAGAAGGAAAAGGUGGACAUAUAAAGCAUCUAUACUUUGUGUUUGUAUGUGUGGAUGUGAUAUUAGGCCAACGAAACCAUACUACACACAUAGGUUGUAGAAUAGAAUAUGUUUAAAGAAAGGUCGUGAAUAAUAAUAUUAAAAAUAGACCUAAAUUUGAGUUUUGUAUCAUAAUUUUGAGGACAAUUAAAUAAAAUAGAAGGAAAAAUAUGUGACUUACCGAGUGAUCAUCAAAUUUUGUUGAUUAUACUUUUACAAUUCAAAUUACUCCAUACUUAUUAUUGUAUAUUAAUGAAAAGGAUUCAUAAUAAUGUGGCUUUAUGUAUUACAUGAGAAGUAAAAAAAGAAAAGGAUAAUUAAAAAUUUACCAAUUAGAUUUAAAAUAAUUAAGUACAUAACAACAUUGUAAAAAAUUUGCAAAUAUAGCAAAAUUUGUCAAAUUCUAUCAAUGAUAUGAACCUAUCACCAAUAGAUCAUGUUACAAAUAUUGGUCUAUCACUGGUAGACUCAUAGCGAUAAUUUUGUUAUAUUUGUAAAAAAAUUAAAUGUUGUUAUAUUCUUAAUUAUUAUUGCUAAAAUGACCAUCAAUUACAAUUAUCCAAAAAAAAAAAUUCGACCUCUUUUAUUAAUAGAUAUGAAAGACAAGUAUAUCAAGGACAUGUAUAUGGCCAAGUUAUUGAAAAAGGAAGCAAAGUAAAAUAAAAUCAAACUCAUUCAUAUGAACCUACUUUAGUUUGAACUUUAAUAUUUUGCUUAUAUAUAAGAAGUGAUUUUUUUUUAAGAUUUUGUUCAAUUUUGCCUACAAUUUUAUGUUUUAAUGAAGGGUUGGUUCAUGCUUUGUUUUUCGAAAAUUGAGGUAGAAUAACUCCCCAAAUUACUAAAAGAAAAUUGAGAGUAUUUAUAUGAACAAAUUUAAAAUAUUUAAAUAUAUGUAAUUGUCUUCCAUUUUUAAGAUUAAAAUGUUAAUGUAACUUUUAAAACUUUGGAAUCUUUCUCAUGGUAUUAACAAUUUUCAUCACUACAAUAGAAACAAGUGCCAUUUUUAAUUAAUUUUCUUUUUAAAUUUUAAAGUAUUAUCGAAACUUUUAAUGGUUAAAAAUAUUUUUUAAACAACCAACAACAGUUCAUCUAAAAUUAUUGACAAUAAUAUUUAUUUUAUAUUUUUAUUUUGAGAAAAUUUUAAAAGAGUAGAUUUUACAAUAUAUUUACAAUUUAUAACAAAUUCUCUUACUGAUAGUCAUUGAUCUACUACAGUAAUGAAAUCUAAAAAUUUUGUUACAGUUUGUAAAUAUUUUAAUUUAUUUUACUAUUUUUAAAAAACGUAAUUGGAAUUAAUGACCAUUUUAGGAAUAAUAAUCAAGGAUAUAACAACAUUUAAAAUAAAUACAAAUAUAGCAAAACUGUCGCUGAUAGACUUGUAUUUCUGAUAAACUCAUAUUGUCUAUCAGUAUUUACAACAUUGUCUAUCGGUGAUAGACUUCUAUAAUUGAUAAAAAUUGACAAAUUUUGCUAUAUUUGUAAAUUGUUUAAAAUGUUAUUAUAUACCUAAUUAUUUUGAAUUUAAUUGCUAAAUUUACAACCAUCAUUUUUAAAAAUGUCCUUAUUUAUAAGUUCAAUGGCACUAGAACUUUUCAAAGUUUAUUUGACUCCGUAAAAAAGUUAAAAUAUAUUUUAUAUAAUGCAACCAAAGAAAAGAACAAACGUGAACGAGGCAUUAUUAGAAACAUAAAAAAUAGUUAAAAGAAGGAUAGAUGUUAAACUUUUGGUUCGUGUAUAUGGAUGUAACUAAUCCACACUGUAUAAAUAAUAAUUUUUUAUUCAAAAUACAAAAAAUAACAUUUUGAAAAUAAGAAAAAUAAUAAAUAAUAUAAAAUUUUAUCAAAAUAUUUAUGAGAAUAAUUAUAAUUAAUAGUCAUUUUAGAAAUAAUAAUUAAAGAUAUAACAACAUUUAGAAAAAAAAUGUAAAUAUAGUUAAACUAUCGCUGAUAGAUUUGUAUCGUUGAUAGAUUAGUACGGUCAAUUAGUGAUAUACGAAUGUUUACGACAUGGUUUAUCGAUAAUAGACUUCUAUAAUUCGAUAAAUUUUGCUAUAUUUAUAAAUAUUUUAAAAUAUUGCAAUAUAGUUAAUUAUUUAGUUAAUUAUUUUGAAUGGAAUGGCUAAUGUAAACAAAUCUUUCAAACCAAAAAGAGUUUAAACUUGCCAAUUCCAAGAAUACCCUUUCCGGAUUUGAAAUUUGUGCGUGGUUACUUAAAUACGUUCUUCUUACUCAGUUUGCCGAUUUCUUCUUCCUCUCCGGCGAACAAGACCCGAGAAUUGAGAUCUUAACAAUGGCGUCACAAGGCUCUGUGAUUUCUGUAUUCUCUAUUUCCUUGCCAUCACUGAACGGUUCAUCGGCCUCGGUGUCUCCGACAUCGCGGUCGUCACUGUUUUCCGGCUUUUGUUUCCGCAAACACCAAUUACCGCUCCAAUUCACUGCUUAGAGAAUUUAAUUGCACAUAUUGCUCCUUGAAGUGGAAAAAACGAUUCCCCUUUCUCCUCUUGAUUUUCUAAUUGUAAGCCCUCUCUCUCUCUUAGUUUUUUCUUUAAUUUCUUACAUUAAUUUUGUACAUUCUUGUAAUUGCUAUCAUUUAUCUUAGUGAUGAAAUUAGACUAAACCCUAUAAUGUCUUUGUUGAAUCAUCGAGACUUGUUGCCUUUCAUCGAAUUUUCAUGUUUAAUUGGCGAUAAUGAAAGGCUUUUUCUUUGUUUAGUUAGAAUAAUUCCUAUUACUUAGGGAUAUUGUUGUUUGAUUUCAUUUUUCCGUUUCCACUUGCUGGUUUGUAGCUAAAGUGGGUUUCUAUUUUAGUUUAUUUUUGUUCACUUAUUUACCUGUUUUGAUGAGUAAUAUGAAGUGAAAUGUGCAAAUCAUUUGUGUGCUUUCAAUCUCAACAUUCUGGUAUCAGAGCAAGGUUGGGUAUUGUGUGGAGCAGCAGUCUUUAAGAUUUUUGCAGCAGCAAAAGAAAAAUGACUACGGAAAAGAAUGAAGGAAGUUUUAUACAACAAGCCAUUCCACGCUUUGAUGGUCACUAUGAUCACUGGAGCAUUGGGAGUUGGUAGAACCUGGAUAUGUUGAACCAGCUAGCGAGUCAUUGCAGACAAAUGCUCAACAGAAGAAAAAUGAUGAAAUGAAGCUGAAGGACUUGAAAGUGAAAAUUUAUCUUUUCCAAGCCAUUGAUCGCACAAUUCUGAAGACCAUUCUCAAGAAAAAUACUGCAAAAGAAAUAUGGGAUGCUAUGAAGAAAAAGUAUGAAGGAAAUGCAAGAGUCAGGCGGUCUUAUCUUCAAGCUCUUUGUAGAGAAUUUGAAAUUCUUGAGAUGAAGUCUGGUGAAGGGGUGACAGAGUACUUCUCCAGAGUCAUGAUUGUGGCAAAUAAGAUGCGAACUUAUGGUGAAGAUAUGCAAGAUGUAAAAGUAGUUGAAAAAAUCCUACGCUCCUUGACUGACAACUUUAAUUAUAUUGUUUCUUCUAUUGAAGAGUCAAAAGAUCCCAACACUCUCACUAUUGAUGAAUUACAAAGUUCUUUAAUAGUACAUGAACAAAAGUUUCAACGACGAGGUGGGGAGGAGCAAGCCUUGAAAGUGACAAAUGAUGAAGGAAGAGGUCGUGGUAGUGGCAGCUAUAGAGGAAGAGGUCGGGGAACUUUCAACAAAGCCAAUGUGCAGUGUUUUCGAUGCCAAAAAUUUGGAUAUUUUCAAUAUGAAUGUUCUGAAAACAAAGAAGCAAACUAUGCUGAAUUUGAUGAGGAAGAAGAAAUGUUUUUGAUGUCUUAUGAGGAAAAACAUGGAGUUCAAAGAGAAGAUACAUGGAUUCUUGAUUUUGGGUGUUCAAAUCAUAUGUGUGGUGAUCGAUCAAUGUUUAGUGAUCUCAAUGAAGAUUUUCGACAUUCAGUGAAAUUGGGAAACAACACUAGAAUGAAUGUCAUGGGCAAAGGAAAUGUAAAGUUGCUCAUAAAUGGAGUUAAUCACGUUGUUGCUGAGGUAUAUUACAUUCCAGAUUUAAGUAGCAACCUAUUGAGCAUAGGACAAUUGCAAGAAAAAGGAAUGUCGAUUUUGAUCAAGCGAGGAGAGUGCAAAAUAUUUCAUCCAAAGAUGGAUUUGAUUAUUCAGAUCAAGAUGAGCAACAGUAGGAUGUUUACUUUGCAAGCUCAAACUCAAAUAUCUUGGGGAAUUGACAAAAAUAGGCCAAAAAUGGGGCAGAUAAAGACUUUUAGGAUUGAUUGUAAAAAGGUUGACAUUUAGGACAAAUUGGAGGUGAAAUGACGAAAAUACCCUCAUUUAAUUUCAAUUCACAUUUAAUUUCCUCCUUCCUCUUUUCUUCUUUUUACUUUUCUUCAACCCAAAAACAGAGAAGGCAGUUCAAAAAAAAAAAAAAUGUAAACCUCCCGCAUUUGAACUCUCCCGCCUCUGCAGUUACCACCUUCAACUUUGUGCCUUCGGUGAACGUUUUUCUCUUCCGUCCAUUUCUUCUCCACUUCCAUCCAUUUCUUCUCCACGACUCUCCACUAUAUUUUCCGAUUUCAACUUUUUCACCGAACGCCUCCAUUUCUUCUGCACGAGUCUCUGUUUUAGUUUCAACUUCAACUUCGGUGAACGCUUCUCCACUUCCAUCCAUUUCGAUUUCAGCUUUGUUUUCACCGGACCUCUCCAUUUCUUCUCCACCCCUCUACGUUGGCAGUGCCAUAUCCAUCCUCUUUGAAGUCAAGUGAGUAAUAAAAUCUCAGUUUUUUUUUUAAAGUUAGUCUGUUGAAGAUAUGUUUAUCUAUUAUUAGAGUAUCCAUCUUGUUUGUUUAAGUUGUCUGUUGAGAUAUGAUGUUUUGGGCACAUUUUAGUUAUAUCAUUAAAUUUGUAGAGAAGAAAUGCAUGUCGUAUGCACACAGACAUAGAGAACCGUGGGAGCCAUUAUGUUUUUAGGAAGAAAUACGAUUUCCUUUGCAAUGUACUGUAAUAAUAGAUAAUUGGGUUAAGAAUGUAUUAUAUAUGUGCAUGCUACAAAUAUAUGUAUAUAUACAUACCUUGGAGUUUAGAACAUGAAUUCCAACAUAUUUGGUAUCCCAUCUAAACUCUGCAAAGCUACCAGUACAACAAUGUUGAACAAUGUUGAAAGACAUUAUCAUAAGCUGCAUUGUUGUUCUCUACUUUGUUAAUGUUUUUAGUGAUGUAGUUCCAAUAGAAUACAAUCUUUGUUGCCUUGUAUAACCAAGAAGCUCCCCAUAUUAAUUUGUCCUAUGUCAAACCAAUUUAUUUAAGAUUCAUAUGUUAGAGAAAAUUUGAAGACAAAUGAUUCAAUUAGUUUUGUUCUUAAACAUACAUGUAGGCUUUCCUCCUCUAUUAAUCAUUUUAGUAAAGGUGUUACAAUAUAUGUUUAGCCGUGCAUGCAAUUUUGUUUAGUAAUCUAAUUUGGUUUAUUGGCCUUUACUUGACCAAAAUUUGAGUAGAAGUCCCAAGAUGAGAGUGUUACCCUUCCUAAAUCGUUUAGAAUGCAUGUUUAACUAGUUUACUGGGUGUUAAGGGUUUAGGGUUAGCAAUUUUAUUAGACUUAGCAAGUAAUAGCUUCGAAAUUUUCUAUCUCGCACCUAUCAACACCUAUCUCGCACCUUUCGAAAUUUGAGUAGAAGUACCAAGAUGAGAGUGUUAACCUUCCUAAACCGUUUAGAAUGCAUGUUUAGCUAGUUUACUGGGUGUUAAGACGUUAGGGUUAGCAAUUUUAUUAGACUUAGCAAGUAAUAGACUUGAAUUUUUCCAUCUCGCACCUAUCACCACCUAUCUCGCACCUUCCAAAAUUUGAGUAGAAGUCCCAAGAUGAGAGUGUUAACCUUCCUAAACCGUUUAGAAUGCAUGUUUAGCUAGUUUACUGGGAGUUAAGGCUUUAGGGUUAGCAAUUUUAUUAGGCUUAGCAAGUAAUAACCUUGAAUUUUCCAUCUCGCACCUAUCAGCAACUAUCUCGCACCUUCCAAAAUUUGAGUAGAAGUCCCAAGAUGAGAGUGUUAACCUUCCUAAACCGUUUAGAAUGCAUGUUUAGCUAGUUUACUAGGAGUUAAGGCUUUAGGGUUAGCAAUUUUAUUAGACUUAGCAAGUAAUAGCCUUGAAUUUUUCCAUUUCGCACCUAUCAGCACCUAUCUCGCACCUUCCAAAAUUUGAGUAGAAGUCCCAAGAUGAGAGUGUUAACCUUCCUAAACCGUGUAGAAUGCAUGUUUAGCUAUUUUACUAGAUGUUAAGGCUUUAGGGUUAGCAAUUUUAUUAGACUUAGCAAGUAAUAGCCUUGAAUUUUUCCAUUUCGCACCUUCCAAAAUUUGAGUAGAAGUCCCAAGAUGAGAGUGUUAACCUUCCUAAACCGUGUAGAAUGCAUGUUUAGCUAUUUUAUUGGAUGUUAAGGCUUUAGGGUUAGCAAUUUUAUUAGACUUAGCAACUUUGCCUUCAAUUUUUCUAUCUCACACCUAUCAACACCUAUCUCGCACCUACCAAAAUUUGAGUAGAAGUCUCAAGAUGAGAGUGCAUUCAUGUUUAGUAAGUCUCUUAUGCAAUUAUAUUUAAUUAGUUUUUUUUAUGCAGGUUUUAUUAUGGCUUCGACAUUAACUAACGGUCCCAUGUACAAGAUUGACCCUGCUCAUCAUUUUCAGUCUAUAGUAAGCAGUUUAUCUCAUUUAGAAAACAGUACGCGUAAAAUAAAGGCUAAAUUGAAACCGGAUCCAUUAACCUUAUUUAGAAAUACAAAGUUUGGCCACUUUUUGGAUCUUAAUAUAGUCUUUAAUGGGCCGCUCAUCCACUACUUAUUGUUAAGGGAGGUGGAAGAUGAAAGGGUUGAUCAUAUCAGUUUCAAGAUAGGGGAAGUUGUGUGCAGUUUUGGUAGGAGAGAGUUUAAUAUGAUGACGGGUCUAUGGAGUUCUCAACCAGAGCCUAUUGAAUUGGUUGGGAAUAGUAGGUUGUUGGAGAAGUUCUUCGAACAAAAAAAGUGUAUUUAUAUAAGUGACUUAGAGGACACAUUUGUGGAAUACGAGGGGGAUGACGAUGACGAUGACAUAGUUAAAUUAGCUCUAGUGUACUUUAUAGAGCUGUCAUUGUUAGGAAAAGAUAGGCGGACGAAAGUGGACCGAACUUUAUUUAGGAUUGCAGAUGAUUGGACCACAUUUAACAAUUACGAUUGGGGAGGUUUGGUUUUUGGACGUACAAUUUCUGCCUUAAAACGAGCCUUGGACAUGCAACAUGCCAAGGGAAAGAAUAAAUCAACUAAGACAAAAUAUACUGUCAUGGGAUUUCCGCAAGCGUUACAGGUAUGUUACUUUACUUCCUAUGCACAUAUUUAUAUAUACAUAUAUCUUGGGAUACUUGCUAAACUUGUUUUGUCGAACAUGGAAUAGGUUUGGGCAUAUGAGUCUAUACCAACCAUCACUGAAUGUGGUGUACAUAAAGUAAGCAACGAUGCAAUACCACGAAUGUUGAGGUGGGUGUGCGAACUAUCACCAAAGUCUCAUGUCCUACAGAGCCAAGUGUUUGACUCGCCAAUGGUAAGUAUCAACAAACAGUAACUUACCAAAUGCAUGACUUUGUUCCUUUAUGUUUUGACUAACUAACUACAUUUCCACUUUGUAGUUCAUAAUUAACGUGGUAAUUGAGAUGAUGCCUGAAGAGGAGGAGCAUCUAAGAAUGUCUUCAGAGGAACUUGUUGAGAAAUCCCAUCCAUCUAACACCGUUUCUGAGAAGAAUGGUGAUUCAAAACGACCAGGAGAAGCUAGUAAUGAUGACAAUGACUGCAAAAAGAGUAAGAAAAAGAAGAAGUGGAAGUCUAAGAUGAAAGAAGUUGUUCGAAAACUCAAAUAUCGAGUAGCGGUUCUCGAGAAUGAACGUGGAAGCCUAAAAUCAACGCUGUCGACUAUAUUGAAACACCUUGAAGUUCAAAAAAAGGUUAGGAAUCAAAGUUUGUUUAACAUUUUCAAAGUUUGUUUAACAUUUUCAAAGUGUUCCUUACCAAUACAUUUUGACAUUUCCAAAGGGUGAAGAAGGAGACUGCACGGGAGUUGAAGGUCAUGAUGCCCAGACCGAAGAUGUUGACAAACCCGGUACACCUUCUUGGUUGUGGAUGCCAAAGGAGGAUGACACAAGUGAUGUGGUGAAACACGUUGAACUUCAAAAAAAGGUUAGGAAUCAAAGUUGUGUAAUGGGGUGAAAAUCAUCCUUACUAAUGCUUUAUCCUUAGUAAUUCAUUUUGACCUUCCAUAGGGUGUCGAAGCAAACCGCACGGAGGAUGACACAAUGGACGAGUUGGAUAAGAAGGUUCAUAUUGAUUUGGAGGAGCCAAUAGACGUCGUUGACAAUUUCAACGAGGAAAUUGGAGUAAAAUGUCUUACCUAUUUUGAUUCAGACGUCAUGGAAAUAGAACCAUUAUCCACUAAACGACCACACGUUCGACCCGCACGUAGCAAGCGUGCAAGUCACUUGUCAACCCCCUUCACAGCUUUAGUUAAACGGUCUACAAAAUCAACCACCACCACCUCUCAGUCUCAACCAUCCGUCUAUGGUCCUAUGCACAAGAUACCUGACACCCAUUUAGAUCGACUCAGAGCUUGGAUCACAGACAAGCGUACAAAAGAUGAGGUGCGUGAAACUUUUCACGGGAAAAAAUCGAAGGAAUUUUUUCAGAGACUUGUUCAUGUGUCGUCGGUGGUUGGCGGAUGAGGUAAGGACUUUUCUUAUUAUUUCUUAUUUACAGUUUUAGAGCACUUAGUAAAACCAUGUUUGUUAACUAAAAAUAGUAUGUUCAAGAAGUUGGUUUGAUCGCAUAACCGAAUUAUAUGUUUUCUUUUGUUUCUAUUAGCAUUUGGAUGCACUCUUUCUUCUCAUUCGCUUCAACAUUAAGUCAGCCAUGAUACCUUCUGCUCAAAAUUUCACAACUGUAGACACACUCUUCAUGGUUUGUAUUCGCAACCAUACUUGAUGUACUGAAUUUGCUUUUGAUAUUUGUCUUAUUGUCUUAUUGUAUUUGAUAUAUAUGCAUGUGUGUUUUUUUUCCUUCCAGCGACUAUUAGUUGCGAAGUGGCCUGAAUACCAAGAAUGUAUUAAAGAGAAUCGACCAUUUCACUUGAAGGAGGAGUAUCGAUUGGUUGACUAUGUUGUCGGAUCAAAACAAGACUUUCAAGAUCCUUGGGCGAAUGUUGAUUACAUUUACUCUCCAUUCAAUAUCCAUGGCAAUCAUUGGAUUCUAUUAUGCUUGGACUUGGUACGUUGUCAAGUUAAGGUAUGGGAUUCGCUUCCGUCGCUUACGAGUGCCGAAGAUAUGAGAAGCAUAUUAAUGUCAAUUCGAGAGAUGGUGCCAAAUUUGCUCGAUACUACUGGAUUCUUUGUUAGGAGAGGCGGAUCAUCAACACACAAGGAACCUUGGCCACUUGUCAUUGUUGACUCCAUUCCACUACAACGCAACAAUAGUGAUUGUGGUGUAUUUACAAUUAAGUAUUUCGAAUAUGAAGCUUCUGGUUUAGAUGUAGCUACAUUAUGUCAAGAAAACAUGUCAUAUUUUAGAAAACAAUUGGCAUUUCAAUUAUGGACCAACAAUCCCAUGUAUUGACUUUUAGUUCCAACUUUUGAAGGAAUGGUAUAUGUUCCAAACUAUGAACAUAAAUGGUUUUAUAUAAUGGAAUGAAUACCAUUGUUGUUUUAUGGUAUGAAAUUUUUAUUUCAUUCUCUUGGGAAAAUUGUAAAGUGUGCAGAACUUUUAUAUAAUGUACUGCAGUGCAGGUGAGAGCAACAUUCUCAUGCUCUUAGAAUUAGGAAGGCCAAUUUAUCACACGCUGUAUGAAAAUUUCACCUCUUUGAAUGCUAAUUGUUUUUUGCAGGUGUUUUAGAAACAUUUUUGGAUUUCUGAUGUAUGGAUAUAGGCAUUCUUGACGCUUAAGUUGAUUUUCUUAAUUGUGUUAGUUGCUGAAAGUCACGAAAAUGGAAAGUUUGUUCUGUCAGAAUCCUGCUUUUAAAUUAAACAUUAUUCUUUACAGCUUUGGAGUUGUUCUAAUGGAAGUACCAACAGGAAAGAAGCCCAUUUUCUAAGACACCUGCCAGGAAAGCAACAAGAAAGCAGAAUGAGAGAACUAAAAGGUAAUCUGAAAGAGAUGGUAGAUCCCAGCAUAUCAUAGGCUCAGGUAGAGAACGUAGUCAAAGUGGUAAGGAUCGAACUUCGCUACAUGGCUAAGAUUCCAUCUACAAGGCCCUCCAUGAAAAUGGUGGUUCAUAUGCUUGAAGAGGUUGAACCUUGUAACUUUAUUGACAUUGUUGUCAAGAAAGAAUGUGAAAACUAAAAGUAAUCAGCAAGAUUUGCAUCAUUACUACUGUAGUAGCAAAAGGAGAGCAUUUAUUGAGUUCUAAAGCACACAAUAUUCUUUACUUCUCACGGAUGGUUCAAACAUUAUUCUUUACAGCUUUGGAGUUGUUCUAAUGGAAGUACCAACAGGAAAGAAGCCCAUUUUCUAAGACACCUGCCCAGGAAAGCAACAAGAAAGCAGAAUGAGAGAACUAAAAGGUAAUCUGAAAGAGAUGGUAGAUCCCAGCAUAUCAUAGGCUCAGGUAGAGAACGUAGUCAAAGUGGUAAGGAUCGAACUUCGCUACAUGGCUAAGAUUCCAUCUACAAGGCCCUCCAUGAAAAUGGUGGUUCAUAUGCUUGAAGAGGUUGAACCUUGUAACUUUAUUGACAUUGUUGUCAAGAAAGAAUGUGAAAACUAAAAGUAAUCAGCAAGAUUUGCAUCAUUACUACUGUAGUAGCAAAAGGAGAGCAUUUAUUGAGUUCUAAAGCACACAAUAUUCUUUACUUCUCACGGAUGGUUCAAACAUUAUUCUUUACAGCUUUUGGAGUUGUUCUAAUGGAAGUACCAACAGGAAAGAAGCCCAUUUUCUAAGACACCUGCCAGGAAAGCAACAAGAAAGCAGAAUGAGAGAACUAAAAGGUAAUCUGAAAGAGAUGGUAGAUCCCAGCAUAUCAUAGGCUCAGGUAGAGAACGUAGUCAAAGUGGUAAGGAUCGAACUUCGCUACAUGGCUAAGAUUCCAUCUACAAGGCCCUCCAUGAAAAUGGUGGUUCAUAUGCUUGAAGAGGUUGAACCUUGUAACUUUAUUGACAUUGUUGUCAAGAAAGAAUGUGAAAACUAAAAGUAAUCAGCAAGAUUUGCAUCAUUACUACUGUAGUAGCAAAAGGAGAGCAUUUAUUGAGUUCUAAAGCACACAAUAUUCUUUACUUCUCACGGAUGGUUCAAACAUUAUUCUUUACAGCUUUGGAGUUGUUCUAAUGGAAGUACCAACAGGAAAGAAGCCCAUUUUCUAAGACACCUGCCAUGAAAGCAGAAUGAGAUAUCUAAAAGGUAAUCUGAAAGAGAUGGUAGAUCCAAACAUAUCAUAGGCUCAGGUGGAGAACGCAGUCAAAGUGGUAAGGAUCGCACUUCGCUGCACGACUAAGAUUCCAUCUACAAGGCCCUCCAUGCAAAUGGUGGUUCAUAUGCUUGAAGAGGCUGAACCUUGUAACUUUAUUGACAUUGUUGUCAAGAAAGAAUGUGAAAACUAAAAGUAAUCAGCAAGAUUUGCAUCAUUAAUACUGCAGUAGCAAAAGGAGAGCAUUUAUGGAGUUUAGUGUUAGGUCAUAAUAGGAUUUCAAGUCUUUCUCAAAAAGCUUGAAAUGCCAAAGGAGAGCAUUUAUGUUAAAAACGACCUCCUGCUUUAGCUAUGAAGUUCUACCUUAUUCAAACUUUACAGAAAGAUGAGAUUAAAGUGAAAAAUAUUCCUUAAACUCAAGAGCACGGCUGUAUAGAAACUUGUGACACGGUUGUACAAUUUAUAGAACAGAUUCAAAUCAAAUAAGGGCAUAAAACAAAAUAUACACUCAGAAAUUCAUAUUCUGCACAAGUUUGCAGUCAACAGAAAUUUAUAGAACAGAUGCCAAAGGAGAGCAUUUCUGUUAAAAACCAAAUACCAUAUAAAAUGGUUGUUAAACGCAACGUAAUACAAACAUUGUAAAAAAAAAUACAAUGAGUAAAUAUUCUAUAAACAGUUUACAGUAGGAUAAAUAAAAAGAGAAGGAAAGUCUUGAAGUUGAAGAAGAAAAGUCUUCAACUUAGAAUUGUCAGUGAGAUGACUUUAGUGAUCUUGCAAACAACACAAGACACAAUUUUAUAAGCAUCUUCCACCUGCAUUAAAACAAUGAACCUUUUUUACAUCGUGAUCAUGCAAACAACUCAAGCACAAACCAAGAAAGUAUAAAACUAUUACUACGUACCAAGACGGGUACUAAUCUUGUAUGCUCGACUUCUGAAUGUAUGAAAUUGGAUUGGUACAUGUUAAUCUAUUGUGACCUGUUUCUUUACAUCGACCACAUUUAUGCAAUUUUGGUGCUUCACCGACACUUGGAAUCCUAUUUUACUUCGGUCGACCAACUCUUUUCACUACUUUCGGAGGUAAGAUAGUCAUAUGUACAUAUUCUUCAGUUGUCUUCCAUUCCGAUUAAUUCCCAACUGGGUAGAUGGCGUCUGAAUAUGCUGCCAACAAACAUUCAUUAGUGUAAUAGUUAGCACAUAAGCUAUAAACAUUUAUAUUGCAAUCCCGUGCAACAGCAAUGACAUGUGCGCAUGGUAGUUGCUCAGCUUGAAACUCCUUACAAGUGCACUCUUGAGUAUGAAGAUUUACGACCUCCUCUUUAUCUAAAUCUUUAACAUGGCACUAGAAGAAAACUACCCUACAAUGACAGUUAUAUAUCUCAAAAAAUGAAUGGAAGAAAAAAAAACUGUCACGAAAUAUAAAAUUUCGCGUUUUUGGCGGGAAAAGACGGAAUUUUUCGGAAAACACUUUUCGUGACAGUUAUUAACUGUCAUAGAAUGUUAGGGUUAAAAUUUUUUUCUUUUUUCCUUUUCUUUUCUUUUUCCUUUUUCUUUCUUUUCCCUAUUUCCUUCUUCCUCCCCGUGCGUCCUUCCCCUUCUCCCCAGCCGCAACCGCCGCGCCUCUUCUCCUUCCUCUCGUACGCCGCGACGACUCCACCGUCUCCUUCUCCUUUCCUUCUCUUUUCUCUUUUCCUUCCGCCGUUCCCUUCCGUCUUUCUUUCCGCCGCAGCCCAGCCGCCCCAUCCUUCCCCUUCUCUCCGUUCGCGAAGCAAAACCGCCACCGCUCCGCCGGUAAGCUUCUCUUCCUUAUCUCUUUCUCUCUCUCUCUCUCUCUAUGAAGUUCUUCAUUGUCUCCAUUGGAUUGUUUCUUGAUUUCAGUUUAUCCCAAUUUCAUUGGAUUGUUUCGCCGGUAAGAUCUUAUCCUCAUUUCCAAAAGAGAUGUCAUGGCUAGUGUCGAUUUCUUUGCAAUCUUUAAAAUUAUUUUCUUUGUUUUCAAGAAUUUGUGUAGGUUGGUGAUGAAACAUUUUGGUAGCUUACAAUGUGUUUGAUGAAAUGCCUCAAUGAAGCAUUUGGUUGAUUUUUGAUUGAUUUUUGUUCGUUCGAAUUAGGAAAUCAAGGCCAAAGGAGAUGUCAUGGCUAUGGGCUGAAGCUUUGAGAAAAAAAGAAUGAAAAAUGAAAUGUGAGAUCUUAAACUUUGUACUUUGCCUUAAGUUGUGUCAAACUAGUCAAUAAAGUAACUUAACUACCAAUUUGCCUUUAAGUGCCGGGUUGUUGGGAUUUGUUUGCUGUAAUUUGUCUAGGGUUAUGUGUGUUUGUGAUGUGUUGUUAGUGAGUAUGUUGAAUUUUGUGUUCGAGCUUCCAGAUGUGAAACAUUUUGGUAGCUUACAAUGUGUUUGAUGAAAUGCCUCAAUGAAGCAUUUGGUUGAUUUUUGAUUGAUUUUUGUUUGUUCGAAUUAGGAAAUCAAGGCCAAAGGAGAUGUCAUGGCUAUGGGCUGAAGCUUUGAGAAAAAAAGAAUGAAAAAUGAAAUGUGAGAUCUUAAACUUUGUACUUUGCCUUAAGUUGUGUCAAACUAGUCAAUAAAGUAACUUAACUACCAAUUUGCCUUAAGUGCCGGGUUGUUGGGAUUUGUUUGUUGUAAUUUGUCUAGGGUUAUGUGUGUUUGUGAUGUGUUGUUAGUGAGUAUGUUGAAUUUUGUGUUCGAGCUUCCAGAUGUGAAGUAUAUAAAAUGUUAUUUGUAAUUGUUUUAAACUUGAAACGCCUUUGAUAUUUGUUAUUCUCUUGUGUCAUAUGAUUAUGUUUCAGGACAUCUACUGAUUAAAAUCAUGAGACCUCAUGCAUACGUGUAUACGCAUAGUUAUUAUAUUUAAAAGUUAUGAUUUUGGUAAUCAUCAUCAUGGGUAAAGUUUCAGUAGUGGUUUACAUGACACCAAGAGUUAAGAUUAAAGAGAAAACGAGUGAGUUGUACACUUAUAGAAUGGUAUUACUUUGGUUUAAGGACUUGUGAAUGAUCUAUAUGUUUUCUUUGUAAGAAGGAUAACAAGGUGGAGUCGAGGUCCAGCAAGGGUGCAACACUGAAUGAGCUGGUUGAGCUCAAAGGUUGUUCUUCCAGCCUAUUUUUCGAGGUUAGAACCUUUUCAUUGCACUGUCGUAAUCUGGAAUUUUUAAGGUACAAUGUUUUCUAAUUUUUAUUUUUAAUUAGAUAUAGGAUGAUAACAUUUUGGUUUUAUUCUUGUGGUGUAUAACUUAUAAGGAUGUUUUAACUAUCCUUUUGCUUUUCAUUAUAUUACUUUCCUAUAUGGCCUUCUCAUCAUGUUUGUACAUUGCGAUCAUAUUUUUCCACUCAUUGAUAUUUUUUUCUCUAAUUCCAGUGCAGAAAACAUAAAGAUCUUUAUCUAUGUAUGGCAAAGUGCCCUAGUGGGCCAUCUGUGAAGUUUUUAGUUAAUGCCAUUUGUUUUCUCUAUUGUUGAUGACCAUAUCUGGUUCUGGAAUUACCAGGUAUGCUUUAUUUAUUUCCUACUUGCUACAGAAUUUAAUACUAACCAUGAUCAUGCUUUAUUUAUAACCAUCACUCUGUUAGCAACACCACUUGAGGAACAAUGCGUGUUUUUAGUGAAGUACGUUAAGAUAUAUAUAGAUAAAUGUCAGAAGUGUCGUUCUUAAGAUAUGAGGCAUACAAUCGUCAUUAGGAAAGGAAUUUGGCAUGGCAAAAAUUAAUUGAUUUGAAGAGUUUGAGAUUAAGCAAAUUUUGGGGAAUAGUUUUUAGGAGUCCUAGUUGGGGAUCUUGCUAUUUUUCUUUCUUAUGUCAAUGAUUUCAUUGUUUUUCUAGUUCACUGUAUACAUUUCCAUAUAAUUGAUUGUUAUCCUUUAAACUUACAUGUUCAAUUUUCCAUCAACUGUUGGUAUGAGAACCCACUUUAUGUAUCGCCAAACCAGGUUAGAUUGAUUGUCCAACUUUUUGAUCAUUUGGGAUUACACUUCUUCACACUAUUAUUUAAUGAUCGUUUGCCUAAUGUAGUCCUCAUGUGCUUCUUUUCAUUUCAUGGAAUCAAGUGUUGAAGUUCUUGUUUGUGUUCUGUAUUUUGUUGAGACAUUGAUUUAGUUACUCAUUGACUGUACGUAUGUGUUAUGGAUACUUAUAUUCAUGUUGUCUUUGUAGGUUCAACUGGAGUCGACAACUUCAUGAGUUUUCUUUCAAAGAACAUUUCCAGAGACGAACAUUCUCGGUUGGUCGUUUAUGCUUCUGCAGAAAAUCUUGUUAGAUGUAUUCUAAUGCUAUUUAAAAUAUUUUUUGAUUAAGGGCUAGUAUUUCGUACAUGUGGAUUAUUGAAACUUGUAUUAAGAUGUACAAAUAUUAUAAAUCGUAUUAUAGUGUAUAUAUAUUAAAGUGUUGGCUAUUUUUUUGUACAUUGGUGUGAAACUUGUAUAAUUUCAAAUUUGUCAUUCUCAGCUACAUUAUUGUCAUUCUAAUGGUUCGUGUAAUGGUGGAGUUGCAAUAUAUUUGACUGGAAAAAAAUGUCGUCACUAGCAAAACAAUGACAUUUAAUGUUAUCGAAAAACUGUCACGAUUGCACAAUCGUUGAUUGGAAAAAAAUGUCGUCAAUAACUAAACAAUGACAUUUUUACAAAAAAAAAACUGUCGCGAAAAACAUAUUCAUGACAAUUAAUACAUGUCACGAUAAUAGAAUUCGUGACAAUUAUUUAACUGUCGUUAAUAAAGAAAUGAUGAUAGUUAUUGAAUGUCAUAAAAUAAAUUAUGACAGUUAUUGAAUGUCGUUGAAUGUUGAUUAACGACAUUUAUUUCAUGUCAUAAAAUAACCUAUUGCGACAGUUUUCAAAAACUGUCGUCGAAGGCCUUUCCAUGACUCCCGCUUCUAUGACUGAAAAUAACUGUCGCGAAAUCCGUUCGCGACAGUAAAUAACUGUCGUCGUAGACCACUUUUGUACUAGUGUGGAAUUGGUAACAAUCAAUUGGGUUGACUUUCAUUGUCAAAGCUCGUUCUUGUUUCUUUUGUAGAACUAACUCUGCUCAUUUAGUCAAUGUAGACGUCACUUUAAUGCCUUCUUCUCGACGCUCCCAAAACCAACGUUGUAGCAAAGCUCGAACAUGUUCAAGGAAUGAAGCAAUAGACAAAUCUCUAGGUUCUUUCAAUAUAGAAUUCAUGGAUUCUACUAUAUUUGUUGUCAUCAUAUUAUAUCGUCUUCCUGGACAGUGAAAACGAGACCAUCGUGUUAUUCCAACAUCGUUUAAAUAUUUUCCUGAAUCAUUAGGAAAUGCAAGAAUACUUCUCCACGCUUCUGAGAACGUUGAUUUACGAUAUGUUCUAGAUGCAUUGUAAAACAAAGUAGCUAUAGUGUCAUUCUUGUAUUUAUCAUUGAAAUUUUGAGUCAAGUGUUGGACACAAAGUCCAUGGAAUGCGGAGGGAAAAACCGAUGCAAUACACUUAAAAAAACAUGUUUUCCGAUCUGUCACGAAGCCUAGAUUAGGCACCUCUCCUAUUGCACCUUUCAAUUUCUCUAAGAACCACUGUAUUGAAGCAUCUGUUUCUCUGUCCAUCACUCUAAAGGCAAGAGGAUAAAUUUGAUUGUUACCAUCCAAGCAAACAACAACUAUCAACUGACCCCGAUAUUUGUUCUUAAGGAAUGUUCCAUCCAUGACUAUAACCGGUCUAAUGCAGUUUAAGAAUCCUUGAACACAUGGACCAACAGUCAUAAAAAGAUAUUUGAAGAAACGAUCAUCUUCAAGUUCCAUGUGAAAUAUUGUACCUACAUUUGCAAGUUUGAGAGCUUCACCAUAUCUAAGCAAUAGAUUAUAUGACUCUUCAGGACACCCUCGCACUCGUUCAUACGCAUUUUCUCUAGCGCGCCAUGCUUUUUCAUAACUCAUAUUUAUGCCAUAGUCUUGCCUCAUGUCUUCUAUGAUAUCACAUGGUUUGUAUAGACGACGGACUCCCUUAGACUUUGACUUUAUUAAUUCUCCAACAACCCAAGAUUUUGCUUGCAUAUAGUCACGAUUCAAAACGUCAAGAGAACACGAAUGAACUUUGACAUACUUUUUAAUCUUAAAUAUAUUUGAAUCCUUCAAUCUCAUCGCUCGCAGUCUCCAACCACACUUGUUGUCAAUGCAUCUAACAAAGAGAACCUCUUUUGUAGACUUUUUUACUACAAACUGAAAGAAAAAAAAAUUCAUCGCCAAGACACUUAAUCUCAUUGACAAAUCUUUUUUGGAAAAAAAUAUUUGUCCUACAUCAAACUCCUCACUUGUAGAGUUUUCUUCAGACCAAUCAUUCCUAUCUGUCUUCAACUUUUGGCUAGAAGAGCUGUAACGAGCUUUAGAUUUUCCUUUGCAAUCUUUUGUAGGAGCAUCUCUAUGUUGUGGGAUGUCAAAUGAUUCACUAUUCAUCUCUACUGGCUCCCAUGUAAAAGUCUCAUCUUUCGAAUCAUAUGACUCAUAUGAUUCCCAUAUAGCCGAAGUGGUCCCUAUCACGUUAUCACACAAGCCAACUUCAACUUCACGAACAUGAACUUCAUUCUCAUUUAAUGUAUCCAUUACAAUUGGAGGAUGAGGGUUUAAGUUAUGAGCUUGGUUGCUGCCAGAUACUGAAUUGUAAUCUUUGCUUACCACUUUUUUGCUUUGAUUACUUUUAGGCUCAAAUGAGACGUAUAAAGGGACCUCUAAUGGAUUUUCACUAAGAAGAUAAAACUUCAAAUCACGGUCAUUGCUUAACUCAAAUGGAGGAGCUUCGUGUUCCACUUUUAUCUCAUAUAUGCAUCUUAUCAUUACGUCGAACUUUGAAUGGUCAACUUCUGCAAGGUCAUAUAAUUCUGCCUGUAAAUCUUUAUGUGUUAUUUCUUUACUGACAACGAUGCCUUUUAACAUGCCUCCUUCGUAUUUUCUUCGCCUCUCAUCCCACGUACCACCGCAACGCACUAACAUGGGAACAUGUGACAUCCUUAAACCACCUUAUACUUUUCAAUUGCUGCAAAAAAUGAUUUGAAGUUAGAAUUUGACAUAUCACAUAAACAAAAUUUAUUAAAAAACAGUAGGCAAAUGCUAAAUAAAACGUGCAUAGUCACAUCCUACAUGUUUACGAUAUUGACAUCUAUAAAAUGUUUAGGAUAUUGCGAAAUACAAAAACCAAUAGUUAAAAGUCACCCUAAAUCAAUUCAUUUCAUAUUAAACAUUUCAAUUUAAGAACCCGCGAGAUGUUUGCGAGAUGUUUGCGAGAUAAAAAAUAAUAAUAAUAACUUGCUAACAUCCUUUGAAAAAUCUCUAAAACAACCUUAAAUCAACCCUAAAUCAACUUGAAACAAUAAAAAAUUAUAUUUGAUUUAUACAUUUAAGAUGCAAAUAUAUAUACAUAUAACACAACAGGAUUCAGAUUCGGAUUAAAAAAAAAAUUAAAACAAACCACAAUGCAUGAGAUGUUCGCCGAAGUAGAUGAUGAACGACACCGGAGUAAAGCGGAAAGUUGACAAACUUUUGAGAGAGGAGAAGAAUUGCAAAUGGGUUUUUCUUUUUGCUUUUUCCUUUACAUAAUCUAUGAGAAGGAGAAAUGCAACAAAUGAGUUUUUCUUUUUUCUUUACAAAAACUAUGAGACUGCAACAAAAGGAUUUUUUUUUUUUUUCCCCUUUACGUAAUCUAUGAGGAGAGGAGAAGAAGGCUGCCUUCGAAAUUCUGUUUUUUUCCUUCAGGUGAAUGACAUUGAAGAGAGAGAGAGAGGGGUUGGAAAAGAAGAGAAGAGCAAAUGUGAAUUGAAAUUAAAUGAGGGUAUUUUCGUCAUUUCACCUCCAAUUUGUCCUAUAUGUCAACUUUUUUACAAUCAAUCCUAAAAGUCUUUAUCUACCCCAUUUUUGGCCUCUUUUUGUCAAUUCCCCAAAUAUCUUCUCAAACACAACUUGAUCAGUGCUUUCAAAGAAAAACUGAUAACUUAUCUCAUCUUUGGGAUCGACGAUAUGGGCAUUUGAGACACAAAGGUAUUACUAUACGUAAAAAUGGUAUAUGGGCUUCCUCAACUUGUAGUCUCAAAUGCUACAUGGAUUGAUUGUAUCAAAGGGAAACAACAUCGAGAUGUAAGGAUUCUACUUGAUUACUUCACUGUUUCUUAUAGACCCCCCAUAGUAAAGUUUCUGAUAGACCCUCCACAGUAAAUGUGUAUUCACGUUGGAAUAAAAGUGGGAAGAAGAAAGAAUGAUUGAGAGUUAGUUAGUAAUUUCCCCUACGGUGGGCCCUUAGGAGUAUGACGGUUAAAGUGGGGCCAAGUAUUCUGUUAGCUUUCUUAGUGUUUGCCUAUUUAGGUAUUGUGAAUGUUGGGGGUGGUUAUCUUUUUGCUAAAUGAUUGUGGUAUAGACUCUCAUUAGAGUAGUGUGGAGAGAUUGGGGAACUCUCAAAUCCUUCCCCAUAGUUGAUAAAUAAAAUUGUGGCUAAGGCCUUAACAAUUUUGGUAUCAGAGCCACCUGUCCUGGAAUGGUUGGUAAGAUGGAAGCUCGAGUAAUCGGUUUGGAAGAAAGUUUGGAGGAAGUAACCACGGGGAUGACUGAAAUAGAAAGUAAAGUAGAGGCAAAAUUUUUGCAAGCAGAAGAACGACAAUUAGCAUUUGAAAGGAAGAUGGAAAAACAGUUUGCAGAAGCAGAAGUUCGAAGGACAAUGGCCGAGCAAAAAAUUGAGAAUAAUCUGUGAAAGUUGAGUGAGGACAUGAAAUUGUUAAUACAAGGGAUGGGAAUGAUGGGAAGUGCAUCCAAAGGAUCCACGUCUAGUGAAAGAACAAUUACAGACAAGGGAAAGGGUAUAAUGGAUGAAGAACAAGCACAUGAAGAAAAAAGCGAAGUGAAAACUAACCUGGUUACGAAUGAAGGAUUUGGAGUACCUUGUGCACCAAACCAGCGGGAGAUACCCCUCUUCGACAUGAGAUUAAGGAAAUUAGAGGUACCAAUAUUUAAGGGAGAAGAAGAAGAAAAUGUGGAUGGAUGGUUACAUCGCGUUGAGCGUUAUUUUGUGGUGAAUAGAUUGACGGAGAGGGAUAAAUUGGAUGUUGCGGUUCUUUGCUUGGAGGGAGAGGCGUUGGAUUGGUAUCAGUGGAAAGAUGUUCGACUGAAGAUUAAUAGUUGGGAGGAAUUCCAACAGCUUUUAUAGGCAUGAUUCAAGUCGUCUGAUCAGGGGGAUAAGCACGCGAGGUUGAUGAAACAGCAGCAAGAAACCACCGUAAGGGAAUAUCGACGACGAUUUGAGCAGUUUUCGGCCGACCUUAAGGAUAUGAGCGAUGCAACUCUAGAAAGUAAAUUUAUGUGUGGGCUAAGGGAAGAAAUCCAAAGUGAGAUUCGUAAAUUGAAUCCAGUGGGCCUAGAAGCAAAAAUGUUAAUGGCCCAAGUAAUAGAAGAUGACCAAGUAGUCCAAUUAAAAAGAAUACAUGAGGUAGGUGCAAACCCUAGUUUGUUAAAUAAAACAUCUGGUAAUGGGCCAAAUGGGUCAGGAAAUCAAACCGAGUCAAAGGUAAUGGACUGGGUUGCAACAUCUAGAAACAUUACGAUUAAUCCUAACUGAAAUUCGUCUUCAUCAUCGACAACAAUCACUUCCCCUUACGAUUUUAACGCGAAAAACUCGAUGGCUCAACCUUAUUACCGAAUGACUGAGAGUUAAAUGAGAAUGAAGAAGGAAAAGGGACUAUGUUUUCGAUGUGACGAAAAAUUCAGUCUGGGGCACCGUUGCAAAAGACGAGAAUUAAAUAUCAUUGCUAUUCAAGAAGGGGAGGACUUAAGUGGGGAAAUUGAUAAAGUAGAAAAGGAGACUGAAGAUGAGAAUGAGCAAAUCAAUACUGAGAUUGCGAAUUUGUCUUUACAUUCGUUGGUAGGUUUUAGUUCUCCUAAAACCAUAAAAAUAAAAGGCGAAAUCAGGAAUCGCGAAGUUGUCGUGUAGAUGGGGGAGCUACACAUAACUUUAUUUCGGAGGAGGUGGUCAAGGAAUUAAAAAUUCCAAUGGAAACUUUAGAUGCUUAUGGCGUUGUUUUGGGAACCGGGGGUGUAGUUCGAGCAACAUGAAUGUGUAAGAGUGUGAAUCUGACAAUCGCUAAUUUAUCGAUCACUCAUGAUUUCCUUCCUCUACCACUUGGGAGUGCAUAUGUUAUUUUAGGAGUUACAUGGUUGGAAACUUUGGGGAAAGUAAUUUUCGAUUAAAAGUUAUCAGAGAUGGAAUUUUCAUUGGGAGAAUUUUUGGUGAUUCUACAAGGGGACAGAAGCCUCGUAAAAUCACAGGUGUCACUAAAAUCAAUGAUAAAAACUUUUGAGAAGGAAGAUCAAGGAGUGUUAAUCGAGUUGAGUACAAUCGAACAAUAGGGAGCGGAAGAGUCAAAGAAUAAUUUAGCGGACUGUCUGAGUAAUCUAAAACCCGAAGUUCAAAGAAUUCUUUUGUCUUUUGGUAGUGUGUUUGAAUCCAGAAAUCAGUUGACACCACCUCGCAAUCAUGAUCAUGCUAUUGAAUUAGAGCCAGGGGCCCGGGCGGUGAAUGUGCGGCCUUAUCGUUAUCCCCAAUUCCAGAAAGAUGAAAUUGAAAAAUUAGUAAAGGAAAUGUUGUAAGCCGAAAUUAUCCAGCCAAGCAAAAGUGCCUUUUCAAGUCCGGUGCUCCUUGUAAAGAAGAAAGAUGGUAGCUGGUGAUUCUACGUGGAUUACCGAGCACUGAAUCUUGGCACCAUACCAGAUAAGUAUCCAAUUCCCGUUGUUGAUGAACUACUAGAUGAAUUAUUCGGGGCAACCAUAUUUUCAAAAAUUGAUCUAAAGUCAGGCUAUCACCAGAUUAGAGUGCGCGUCGCCGAUGUUCACAAAACGGCGCUUCGUACCCAUGAAGGGCACUACGAAUUUCUCGUGAUGCCAUUUGGGUUGAAGAAUGCUCCGACCACUUUUCAAUCAGUAAUGAAUGAUAUUCUCCGCCCAUACUUACGCAAAUUUGUUUUGGUUUUCUUCGACGAUAUCCUAAUCUACAACAAGUCACUAGAAGAACAUUUGCAGCAAUUGGUCGUGGUUUUAGAAACCUUAGUAGUUCAUAAACUGGUGGCGAAUUUUAAAAAAUGUCAAUUCGCAGUAGAUCGAAUUGAAUAUUUGGGUCACAUUAUCUCAUCUGAUGGGGUGGCGACGGAUCCAACGAAAAUAAUGGCUAUGGUUAAAUGACCAGCACCCAAGAAUGUGAAGGAAUUACAAGGUUUCUUGGGUCUUACAGGUUAUUAUCGGAAAUUUGUGGCAAACUAUGGUUCUAUUGCACUACCCUUGACACAAUUGUUAAAGAAAGGAAAUCUUCAGUGGAAUGAGACAGCAAAAAAUGCGUUCCAACAAUUAAAAUUUGCUAUGAUGUCGGUACCGGUGUUAGGUAUUCCAGAUUUUCCCAAGGUUUUGUGCUGGAAACUGAUGUUUCAGGUGUUGAUAUUGGGGCUGUCCUAAUGCAUCAUCAACGUCCAGUGGCUUUUUUUCAGUCAAGCUUUGCCCGAUACCCAUAGGUUUAAAGCUGUGUAUGAACGGGAACUUAUGGCAAUCGUGCGGGCUGUUCAAAAAUGGUGCCCAUAUCUGUUAGGUAAGCCUUUUGUGGUGCGUACAGAUAAAAAAAGUUUGAAGUUUCUUCUUGAACAACGAGCCAUUGGGGGAGAAUAUCAUAGAUGGAUCACUAAACUAUUGGGGUAUGAUUUUGUGAUUGAAUACAAGAAAGGAAUGAAAAAUAAAGUGGCUAAUGCUUUAUCACGAUUACCACCGGUAUUUGAAUUGGGCCUCAUAAGUGUUGUGAGCGGGCUCAAUCCUUCGAUUUUCAUUGAUCAAGUGGCUGGGAAUGAAGCUCUGAAUAGUAUUCGGUUAUCCUUGAUAAAUGGACAGCCAACCCCGGAGGGAUAUUCACUACAUAGAGAGGUUCUAUGCUAUCACGGCCGGUUGGUUCUUUCGGAGGAUUCCCCUACUAUCCCCUUAUUAUUAGCGGAGUUUCAUAACAGCCCGAUAGGGGGACAUCAUGGCGCGUUGACAACAUAUCAAAGGCUAGCAAGGGAGGGAUAUUCGGUUAUCCUUGAUAAAUGGACAGCCAACCCCGGAGGGAUAUUCACUACAUAGAGAGGUUCUAUGCUAUCACGGCCGGUUGGUUCUUUCGGAGGAUUCCCCUACUAUCCCCUUAUUAUUAGCGGAGUUUCAUAACAGCCCGAUAGGGGGACAUCAUGGCGCGUUGACAACAUAUCAAAGGCUAGCAAGGGAGGUAUAUUGGCGAGGUAUGAAAGCACACAUCCGCACGUAUGUUGCCGAAUGUUCGGUUUGUCAACAAGCCAAAUAUUUGUCACUAACUCCAGCCGGUCUUCUUCAAGCAUUACCCAUUCCAGACCGUGUAUGGGAGGAUAUUAGUAUGGAUUUUAUUGAGGGUCUUCCUAAAUCUGAGUGCUAUGAUGUCAUAUUGGUGGUUGUGGAUAGACUUUCCAAGUAUGCACAUUUCAUUCCUUUGAAGCAUCCUUUUGGUGCAAAAGUUGUAGCUGCUGGUUUUAUGCGGGAAAUCAUUCAUUUGCAUGGAUGCCCCCGAAGUAUAGUGUCGGAUCGUGAUCGUAUUUUCACAAGUCUAUUUUGGGAGGAGUUGUGGCGGUUGUUGGGAACUUAGUUAAGACUAAGCACCACCUACCAUCCCCAAACAGAUGGUCAAACCGAAGUUGUCAAUCGAGGGGUGGAGACGUAUCUACGAUGUUUUGCUAUGAACACACCUAAACAGUGGGCUAAAUGGCUAGCUUGGGUUGAAUUGAGCUAUAAUACAACUGUCCAUACAGCCAUAUUGAUGACCCCCUUCGAGGCUCACUAUGGUCGACCACCUCCCUCUAUAUUACCAUGCGUGAAGGAGUCGAGCCCGGUGAAUGAAGUAGAUCAUUUGAUGAAGGAAAGAGAUGGAAUUCUGAGAAUUUUGAAGGCCAAUUUACUGAAGGCACAACAGCGAAUGGUCAAAUACGCCAAUGUUAAACGACGGGAGGUACAGUUUGAGGUGGAUGAUUGGGUUUAUGUGAAGUUACGCCCUUACCGCCAGUCCUCUCUCACCCAUUUUAAGCACCCCAAAUUGGCCCCAAGAUUCAUUGGCCCAUUUGUCAUUGUGGCACGAAUUGGUCUGGUUGCAUAUCGUUUGGCUCUUCCCAAGGAGUCGCUUAUUCACCCGGUCUUUCAUGUUUCGAUUCUUUAAAAAGUCGUAGGUUCAAACAGGCCUCUAUUUCCAAUUCCAAAAGAUUUGGCUGCUGAUUUGUCGAUGCAAUUGUCUCCGGUAGAGGUGUUGGGAGUUCGCAAAACCAGAGAAAAGGGGGACAAGUUAGAAGUUUUGAUUUUCUGGAGUGACAGUACACCUGAAAGUGCUACAUGGGAACAAGCCACUCUUAUUCAAGAACAAUUUCUUGAAUUCCACCUUGAGGACAAGGUGGCUCUUUGGGGGGCGGGCAAUGAUAGACCCCACAUAGUAAAGGUGUAUUCACGUAGGAAUAAAAGUGGGAAGAAGAAAGAAUGAUUGAGAGUUAGUUAGUAAUUUCCCUUGCGGUGGGCCCUUAGGAGUAUGACUGUUAAAGUGGGGCCAAGUAUUCUGUUAGCUUCCUUAGUGUUUGCCUAUUUAGGUAUUAUGAAUGUUGGGGGUGGGUAUCUUUUUGCUAAAUGAUUUUGGUAUAGACUCUCAUUAGAGUAGUGUGGAGAGAUUGGGGAACUCUCAAAUCCUUCCCCAUAGUUGAUAAAUAAAAGUGUGGCUAAGGCCUUAACAAUUUCUCCCUUACAAUGGCAUAAACAGAGGCAACACUCUGUUAUCUUUAUUUAUAUAUAGCCAAAAUGAGUACAGUAGUCAUAAGAAUUCAAAAGAAACAAAGAACAAUAAAGACAAACCCAACUUCCUCUUGGGAAAACUGGAUAUACUCCUAGGCUAAGCAGCUGCCAACUUAAUAAGGAUAAAAAUAAACCUCCCUCCCCUAGACCUAAAAGACCUAUUUAUAUUCCUCCUCUCAUCUUUCUCUUAUUUCUGUGCCUGGGCCCCACACGCACGAUCUCCUCCUCCUUUUCCUUCAUCAUUAAUUAUUUGUCGAUUUACUUUUUUGUCCCUAAUUUGAUAUGUGUAAAUGAUUGAGGGUCUUACAAUACCCCGAGGUUCUAAGUUCACCUUGUCCUCAAGGUGAAAGUGAGGAAACUGCUGGUUCAAUAGGUAGACUGAUUCCCAUGUUGCUUCACUGUCUGGUAAGUUCUUCCACUUGACCAACCACUCAUUGCCUCCUAACUCCUUGUUCCACCGUAUUCCCAGCACGUUUUUCGGCCACAAUUGUAAUUCAAAAUCCUCAGUUAGGAUGGGUUAUUGUUGUUGGACUACAUGUUGUUUUCCCAACUUCAGUUUCAAUUGAGAAACGUGGAAGACAUUGUGAAUGGCAGCCUCCGGCGGUAGUUUCAACCGAUAGCGACCUCUCCUAUCUCCUCAAUAAUCUCAUACAGCCCAUAAAAUUUCGAGGAUAGCUUUUCACAUUUCUUUCUAGCUAGUGAUCUUUGUCGAUAGGGUCGUAGUUUCAAAUACACUUCGUCACCGAUUUUGAAUCUGAGCUCCCUGCGAUUCCGGUCUGCCAUUUUCUUCAUUAUGUUUUGAGCUAUGCAUAGGUUUUCUUUCAAUGCAUUGAUUGCUAGGUCUCUCUCCUUCAACAUGACUUCUACGUCAUUGUUAGGAGAUUUCUUCCAUCCGUACAACAACAAUGGCGGGGGAAUUCUUCCAAAGAUCGAUUGGUAAGGAGUAGUUUUGGUGGACGCAUGGAAGGUUGUGUUAUACCAUAAUUCCCCCCAAGGAAUUAGUUUAUCCUAUUUCUUCGGUUGCUCAUUGCAAAAGCAUCUCAAAUAAGUCUCUAGGCAUCUGUUUACUCUCUCGGUUUGUUCAUCGGUUUAGGGAUGGAAUGUCGUGCUUCUCUUCAAAAUUGUGCCCAUGGUGGUGAACAACUCUUUCCAGAAAUUGCUAAGGAAGAUCUUAUUGCGAUCAGCAAUAAUGGACUUGGGUAUUCCACGUUUGCUGACCACUUUUUCCAAAAAUAUGGAAGCCACUUGCUUGGCUGUGUACGGGUGUUUAAGAGGCAAGAAAUAGGAGUACUUACUUAGGCGAUCGACGACUACCAUAAUCAUGUUGUAUCCUCCUGCUAUUGGCAGACCUUCGAUGACGUCCAUGGUCCAAUCUUCCAAUAUCUUGUCGGGGAUAGGAAUGGGUUGAAGAACUCCAACAGGCUUGGUAGCUUCGAAUUUGUUGCAUUGACAUAUGUCACAUUCUUCCACAUAUCUCUUGACAUCAGCCCUCAUCCCCUUCCAAAAUAAUUCCCCACUCAUCCUUUUGUAGGUUCUCAAGAACCUCGAGUGCCCUCCUAAUAUGGAAUCAUGGAACGUGUGUAGAAGUCUCGGAAUGAGGGAAGAAUUACGCGACAGCACCAUCCUUCCUUUAUAUAACAACCUGCCAUUGUUCCACUGGUAUUUUCCACCUUGAUCCACCCCUCCCUUAAGUUCGGCAAUAAUUUUAUGAAGUUCUUGAUCCUUCUCGACUUCCUUCUCUAUCAGCUCUAUAUCAACUAUGCCUGUGGUUGUCAUUGUGUUUAACUCAGCUGAUUGGUCCUUCCUUGAGAGAGCAUCUGCCACUUUAUUCUGUAGACCCGGUUGAUACAAAAUCUCAAAGUCAUACCCUAAAAGUUUUGUGAGCCACUUUUGGAAUUGAGGUUGAACUUCCCUCAGUUCCAACAAAAAUUUUAGAUCCUUCUGAUCUGAAAUAAUUGUGAACCUUUUGCCCAGGAGGUAAUGCCUCCAUUUUUGCACCGAAAGGACAACCGCCAUCAAUUCCCUUUCAUAGAUCGACUUACCCUGGGCCCUUGGGGACAGUUUCUGGCUGAAGAAUGCGAUAGGAUGACCAUCUUGUGAUAAAACUGCGCCUAAACCUACUCCUGAAGCAUCAGUUUCAAUUGUCAAGGGCUGAGACCAAUCCAGCAAUGCUAACACGGGUAUGGUUGUCAUUGCUAGCUUCAGUUGAUCAAAAGCUAUCGUGGCUUCCUCAUUCCACUGGAAUGCAUUUUUAUGAAGUAGUUUAGUUAUGGGUGCAGCUAUCUCUCCAUAGCUUUUCACAAAUCUUCUAUAAUACCCAGUCAGUCCAAGGAAUCCUCUCAGCCCCGUUAUAUCUUUCAGUCGUGGCCAAUUGACCAUACUACGAAUCUUUUCCUCAUCAGCCUCCACUCCUCUAUUGGAAAUCAGAUGUCCCAAAUAUUGAACUUGGGAAUGAGCAAUUACACAUUUAGUUCUAUUUGCAAACAACUUAUGGUCCCUCAAAAUAGCGAAUAUCAUCCUUAAAUGUUUCAUAUGCUCAUCUAUGUCCAUACUAUAAACUAAAAUGUCAUAAAAAAAAAACCAGGACACACCUUUGAAGGAAUGGUUUGAACACCUCGUUCAUGAGAGAUUGGAAGGUGGCAGGAGCAUUCGUAAGACCGAAAGGCAUCACCAAGAACUCAUAAUGUCCUUCAUGCGUGCGGAAAGCUGUUUUCUCCACAUCUUCCUCCCUCAUCCUAAUCUUGUGGUAUCCAGAUUUAAGAUCUAACUUUGAGAAAACUGUCGCCCCAUGAAGUUCAUCUAAGAGUUCUUCAAUCACUGGGAUUGGGAAUUUGUCACCCGUAGUUACUUGAUUGAGUUUACGGUAGUCUACACAGAACCUCCACCCCUAUCUGUUUUCUUCACUAAGAGGAUUGGGCUCGAAUAUAGGUUGUGGCUUGGACGAAUAACCCCUGCUUGUAGCAUUUCUAAUACCAAUUUUUCAAUCUCCUCCUUUUGUACAUGCCCAUACUUAUAUGGUCGUACAUUAAUCGGUUUCUGAUCGGGCAAGGUCAAAAUACGAUGGUCUAUGGUUCUCUUUGGAGGUAAAUCUGUGGGCAGCCUAAAGAUGUCUGCAUAUUGCUCGAGCAGUCGUUGAACCAUGGGUAAUCCUUCCUCCUUUCCUUUCAAUUCGGCUUCUGUUUUUUAUUCUCCUUCACAUUCACACUUCAUAAUUUUGAAAUUCCAAGAGAAAUCCUUGGUCCCCAGAUUGCCAAGUUUUCUCUAAGGUUUUCAACGAACAUUCUAACUUUGUUAGAGAAGGGUCCCCUUUUAGGAUUAUUCUUCUACCCUUUGUCCAAAACGUCAUGGUUAGAGAUGGCCAGUGUACUUUCAUAGUCCCUGUCGAAUCUAACCAUUGUAUCCCCAACACCAAGUCUACCCUUCCUAAUUCUACCGCCAGGAAGUCUGCUACGAUCGUUAACUCUUUCAACUUCACUUUUACCCUCUUACAGAUCCCUCUCCCUUCACAUCGGGUGCCAUUCCUAAUGGUAACUCCAAAACGAGUCCCCGAAUCGAUGCUCAGUUAUAGUUCAUCUACCAACACUUGGCUGAUGAAGUUAUUGGUUGCACCGCUGUUAGUCAGGAUGACUACUUCCUUUCCAUUCACAUGUCCUUUUAGUUUCAUCGUUCCCUUGGACGUAACCCUCGUGAUCAACCUUAACUCAAUAGGGGUAUCCUCAUUCAAUUCCAAUUGAUUUAGUUCUAUUAUUUCGCCUGCCUCAUCCUCUGUAUUUGAUUCCCUUUCGUUGUCAUCUUCCUCAUUUAGUAUAAGGAGCAUCAACUCUCUUUUUUCUCUGCCUUUACAUCUAUGACGGGGGGAAUACUUUUCAUUACACCUGAAACAAAACCCUUUAUCCAGCCUUGCUCUAAAUUCCAUAUCCAACAGCCUUUUAAUUGGGGGAUCUUUUUUCUGGUAAUCACCUUUUAGUGGGAUAGUCACCUGCUUCAUGACAAAAUUUGUCUUUUUUUGUUUCUACCUUCUCACCUUUUCCUUGAAGUUUGCUACUGCUCUCACUUCUUUUGGGCUCAACUUUAUCCAUCUCUUCCAUCGCCAGUUUUAAUGCUAUAUUCCUAUCAUUCACCAGUUGAGCUUUCUUCAUACACUCCUCUAAAGUUUGAGGGUGCCUGCUGAUUACUUCUGCUUGCAGUGCUGGCUCAAGACCCGUAAAAAACGCAUCCAGCAGAACACUUUCGGCCAUGUCCGGGAGGGGGGCUGAAUAUGUAACAAACUUCUUAACAUAAUCACUGUAUGAGCCUUUUUGCUUGAUACGGAUUACUCUUGCUCCCAAGCUCUGCUGUCCCGUAUCAUUGAAAAAAUCAAACAUCCUCUCCUUCAAAUCCUCCCAAGAUUCCACCCUCUUUCGAUGAUGACUCCACCUAAACUAGUCAACCUCUUCCUGUCCAAAACUUACGACUGCUACUUUGACCUUCUCAGCUUCCGAUAAAUUGUUUAUAUCAAAGAAAUGUUCUGCUCGGUAAGCCCAUGAUUCAGGGUUCACCCCUGUAAACAAUAACAUUUCUAAUUUUUUGUACUUACUUCGGCCUGCGUUGCUUCCUCCCGACUCGGCUGUGGUUUCAGUAUCUUCCAGCUUUCCCUUCAGUUUCAACAUGGGGCCUUCCGUAGUCCCGGCUUCUUCUCUUUUUUUAGUGCCAUGGUUUUCUCUCAACUCGUCCGUCAUUCGAUCCAUCAAUUUCUUCAUUUCCAGCAUCAUCUCCUUCAGACUCAUAAUUUACUUUUCAGUUCCUUCUACCCGUUCUUCUAUUUGUCUUUGAGCCAUCAGACGUGUGAUCACCCCCAGUGUGGAGGCUCUGAUACCAAUAUGUAAGGAUUCUACUUGAUUACUUCACUGUUUCUCCCUUACAAUGGCAUAAACAGAGGCAGCACUCUGUUAUCUUUAUUUAUAUAUAGCCAAAAUGAGUACAGUAGUCAUAAGGAUUCAAAAGAAACAAAGAACAAUAAAGACAAACCCAGCUUCCUCUUGGGAAAACUGGAUAUACUCCUAGGCUAAGCAGCCGCCAACUUAAGGAUAAAAAUAAACCUCCCUCCCCUAGACCUAAAAGACCUAUUUAUAUUCCUCCUCUCAUCUUUCUCUUAUUUCUGUGCCUGGCCCCACACGCACGAUCUCCUUCUCUUUUUCCUUCAUCAUUAAUUAUUUGUCCAUCUACUUUUCUGCCCCUCCUUUGAUAUGUUUGAAUGAUUGGGGGUCUUACACGAGACCCAUUUCCAAAGAGGAGCAUUUGGAGAGCUAGACAAAGAUUAGAAUUUAUUCAUGCAGAUAUUUGUGGCCCGACCACUGCUACUUCCAAUAGCAAUAAGAGGUAAAUUUUGCUACUUAUUGAUGAUUACAGUAGGAAAGCAUGGGUUUACUUUUUGGUGGAAAAGUCAGAAUCUUUUAAUUCUUUCAAAUAUUCAAGUCUAUGGUUGAAAAAGAAAUUGAGUUGCCUAUUAAAUGUUUACACACUGAUAGAGGGGGAGAAUUUAAUUCAAUUGAGUUCAGUGAUUUUUGCAAACAAAGUGGGAUCAAAAGGCAACUAAUGGCCGCUUAUACUCCGCAACAAAAUGGGGUCGCAGAAAGGAAAAAUAGAACUAUAAUGAACAUGGUUCGUUCAAUGUUAUCAUAGAAGAAGUUACCCAAAACCUUUUGGCUGGAGGCAGUAAAUUGGACUAUUCAUGUCCUGAAUAAAUGUCCAACCUUGGCUGUUCAAGAUGUCACUCCAGAGGAGGCUUGGAGUGGAAUAAAACCAUAAGUGGAUCAUUUUAGAAUUUUUGGUUGCAUAGCACAUGCACGUGUCUCGGAUGGAAGAAGAACGAAGCUUGAUGAUAAAAGCAUUUCUUGUGUAUUGCUUGGAGUUAGUGAGGAGACAAAAGGCUACAGAUUAUAUGAUCCCAUUAAUAAAAAAGUUUUUGUGAGUAAAGAUGUUCUGUUUGAAGAAGAAAAACAAUGGGAUUGGGAUGCAAAACAAAUAUAAUCAGUACACUUAGAUUUAAGUGAUGGAGAUGGUGCUAAUGAAGAAGAAGAUAUAAUGCGAGUGCAAACGAGAUUGAUAACGAUGAAGAGAUAAGAGAUGAGGAAGUUACUGAAGGUCAUGGUUUUAGUGAAGGUGAACAAAGUGUUAGAGAUGUAAGACAAUCUCGUGAAAGCCAUCCUCCUACAUGGAUGGGUGAAUAUGUUAGUGGAGAAGGUUUAUGACAGGAUGAAGCUCUUAUGGUACUAGGGGUAUCAACUGAUCCAAUAUGUUUUGAGGAUGUUGUACAUAACGAAAGUUGGAGAUUGGCAAUGGAUAAUGAAAUUAAAUCCAUUGAGAGGAACAAAACAUGGACACUCAUUGAGCUACCAAGUGAAGCUAAAAGGAUUGGAGUAAAAUGGGUGUACAAAACCAAAUACAAUGAACAUGGAAAAGUUGAUAAGUACAGUAAGGAUGAUUGUUGCUCUUGCUGCACAAAAGGAUUGGAAGAUUUUUCAACUUGAUGUCAAGUCGGCUUUCCUUCAAGGUGAAUUGAAUGAAGAUGUCUACGUAGAGCAGCCAAAAGAGUAUCACAAUAAGGGAAAGGAGCACUUGGUUUACAAAUUACACAAAGCUUUAUAUGGAUGAAAACAAGCCCCACGAGCUUGGUUUAGUCGAAUUGAAGCACAUUUCCUUAAUGAAGGGUUUCAAAGGUGCAAUAGCGAACAAACAUUAUUCACCAAGGGAAGCAUGGAAGGAAAAAUAAUCAUUGUAACUGUCUAUGUUGAUGAUUUAACUUUUACUGAUGACGGUGAAGCUAUGUUGAUUGAAUUUAAAAAUUCCAUGAUACGAGAAUUUGAUAUGUCUUACUUGGGAAAAAUGAGAUUUUUUCUUGGUAUUGUGUUGUUGCAAAAGACUGAUGGUAUUUUUAUAUGUCAAAGAAAAUAUACAUUAGAAGUUUUAAAAAGGUUUGACAUGUUGGAAAGUAAUCCAGUGAAUAGUCCAAUGGUUCCUGGCUUCAAAUUGAAUAAGAAUGGAAAUGGGGUCACCGUUGAUGAUACACACCACAAGCAACUGGUAGGAAGUCUAAUGUAUCUUAUUGCCACUAGACCUGACAUGAUGUUUGCUACUUGUCUCAUAAGUAGAUACAUGGCGAAAGAGUUCUUCGAUACUUAAAAGAAAUUGUGAAUUAUGGAAUCCAUUACAGGAAAGGAGGAAAAGGUCAAUUGUUGGCAUAUACAGAUAGUGACUAUGCUGGAGAUAUGGAAGAUCGAAAAAGUACAUCAGGAUAUGUAUUCUUAAUGAGUUCAGGUGUUGUUUCGUGGUGUUCAAAAAAUCAGCCAAUUGUGACUUUAUCUACCACUGAAGCUGAAUUUGUAGCUGCUGCAGUUUGUGCCUGUCAAGGAGUUUGGAUGAAGAGAAUUUUGAAGGAGAUGGGUUUCUGUGAUGAAGGUUGUACAACUAUACUAUGUGACAAUAGUUCAACUAUCAAAUUGUCUAAAAAUCCCAUUAUGCAUGGACGAAGCAAGCAUAUUGAUGUGAGGUUUCAUUUUCUAAGAAAUCUUACUAAAGAUGGUGUAGUUGAAUUGAUUCAUUGUGGAAGCCAAGAACAAGUUGCAGACAUCAUGACAAAACCAUUAAAACUGGAAGUUUUUCAAAGGCCUCGAAGGUUGCUGGGAGUUCAUGAGAUUUUAGAUAAAAACUAAUUGCUUCAGAGCAUUUAGUUUAAGGGAGGGAAUGAAAUGUUUUUUCUUUGUUUAGUUAGAAUAAUUUCUAUUAUUUAGGGAUAUUGCAGUUUGAUUGUUAGAAAUUAAUAAGCUAGAUACAUUAUGGAUAACACAUUAAUAGAUACAUUUCUAGUUUCAAGAUACAUAUGCAUUUCUAGAUACAUGUAAUUAUUCAAGUACAUGAAUGGUAUGUAUUCAUGUACUUCAUUUAUUUUGUGUCUUUUAGGAAGUGUCUCUUGAAUACUAUAUAUAGAGAUCAUUUCCUUCAUUUGUAUACAAGAUAAAAGAAUCAAAUCAAUAGAAGCAAAUUGAGUCUUAGAAAGUAAGUGAGUUUCAAGAGAACAACAUUCUUCUCUUGUGUGUUAUUGAGUUUUCUAAGAGAACAAAUUUAUUCUCUUAAAAGUUUGUGAGAUUUAGAGUAAAUUUAGAGUGGGCUCGUCAACGCCUCCAACAAAUUGGUAUCAGAGCAAGGAUUGAAAGAUGUCAUCUAACAUGUUGCAGCCUCAACUUCCUUGUUUUGAGGGAAAAAACUAUAGGCGGUGGAGCCAUCAAAUGAAGGUUCUUUAUGGAUCUCAAGAUCUUUGGGAUAUUGUUGACAUCGGAUAUUCAGAGCCAGAAAGUAAGAAUGGUCUUUCAGCACAACAACUCAAUGAGUUGAGAGAUGCUAGAAAAAAGGAUAAGAAGGCAUUAUUUUUCAUCUACCAAGCUGUGGAUGAAAAUAUUUUUGAAAGAAUAUCAGGAGUCUCUACUGCUAAAGCAGCAUGGGAUGCAUUGCAAAAUUUGUAUGAAGGAGAAGAAAAGGUAAAAUUGGUCCGAUUACAAACACUUCGAGCUGAAUUUGAUACAAUUCGAAUGAAAGAUUCUGAAACUAUUGAAGAAUUUUUCAACCGUAUUCUCUUAAUUGUUAAUCAAUUGAGAUCAAAUGGAGAAACAAUUGAAGAUCAAAGGAUUGUUGAGAAGAUUCUUAGAAGAAUGAUUAGAAGAUAUAAGCAUAUUGUUGUAUCAAUUGAAGAAUCCAAAGAUUUGUCAACUCUCUCUAUAAAUAGCUUAAUGGGAUCUCUUCAAUCUCAUGAGCUCAGAUUGAAGAUGUUUGAUUGUACUCCUUCAGAAGAAGCUUUUCAUUUGCAGUCCUCCUAUAGAGGUCGAUCCAAUGGAAGAAGAGGUGGACGUGGUGGUAGAGGCAAUGGACGAUCCAACGUUGUAACAAAUACAGAGUCAGAAAGCAGAGACAAUCAAUUUUUUUCAAAUAGAGGACGGGGAAGAAGUUCAAAUAGAGGAAGAGGUAGAAGUGGUGGUCGUGGAGAUUUUUCUCACAUACAAUGUUUCAAUUGUAGACGUUAUGGACAUUUUCAAGCAGACUGUUGGUCUAAGAAGACUAAUUCUAAUCAAGCAGAAACCACGCUAAUGCAUGAGCAAUCAAAUAAUGAUCAAGGUCUUCUCUUCCUCACUCUCAAUGUUCAAGAAUCAAGCACUGAAGAAAUAUGGUAUCUUGAUAGUGGUUGUAGUAACCACAUGACAGGAAGAAAGGAUAUUUUUAUAUCUUUAGAUGAAUCUCAUCAAAAUGUAGUGAAGACUGGUGACAACAAGAUGCUUGAAGUCAAAGGAAAAGGAGAUAUUCUUGUCAAGACAAAAAUGGGAGCAAAAAAAAUUACUGAUGUGUAUUAUGUUUCAGGUCUCAAACACAAUCUUUUAAGUGUUGGACAACUUCUCCUAAGAGGACAUGAUGUUAUUUUUAAAGAUAACAUAUGUGAGAUUAGAACCAAGAAUGGAGAUCUCAUAACGAAGGUUCGUAUGACUCACAACAAAAUGUUUCCAAUUAAAAUAUGUUAUGAGAAGCUUGUUUGUUUUGAGACUUUAGUAAAUGACACCUCAUGGUUAUGGCAUUGUCGAUUUGGGCACCUAAGUUUUGACACUUUGUCUCACAUGUGUCAACAACAUAUGGUGAGAGGAAUGUCAAAUAUUAAAAAGGAAGAUCAACUCUGUGAAGCAUGUGUUUUCGGAAAGCAUCAUCGAAAUUCAUUUCCGACUGGAGGUUCUUGGAGAGCAUCAAAACCACUCGAGCUUGUUCAUACAGACUUAUGUGGACCUAUGAGAACUACUACACAUGGAGGUAACCGUUAUUUUCUCACAUUUAUUGAUGACUACAGUCGAAAAACAUGGAUUUAUCUACUAAAAGAAAAGAGUGCUACUUUCGAAUGUUUCAAGACAUUCAAAGCAAUGGUGGAAAAUGAAACUAACUUGAAAUUGAAAUCAUUGCGUUCGGAUCGUGGAGGAGAAUAUAUUGUUUUUGCAGAUUUCUUGAAGGAAAAUGGAAUCAAGCAUCAGAAGACUGUUCGAAGAACUCCUCAACAAACGGAGUUGCAGAGAGGAAAAAUAGAAUAAUAAUGGAACUUGCAAGAAGUAUGUUGAAGGCAAAGAAGCUUCCUGAUCAAUUUUGGGGAGACACAGUAACUUGUGUUGUUUAUCUCCUAAAUAGAGCUUCAACGAAAAGUGUGCAAGGUAUUACUCCUCGAGAAGCAUGGAGCGGAUUGAAACCAACUGUUAGUCACCUAAGAGUGUUUGGGUGCAUUGCUUACUCUCACAUUUCAGAUGAGAAAAGAGGUAAGCUAGAUGAUAAAUCAGAGAAAUGCAUUUUUGUUGGGUACAGUGAGAACUCUAAGGCCUACAGACUAUACAAUCCGAUAAGUAAGAAAGUUAUUAUUAGUCGAGAUGUCAAGUUCGAUGAAGCAAAAUUGUGGCAAUGGAAUGCACCAAAUGAAGACCAAAAUCCAUUACAUGUUGAUAUGGAUGGAAAAAAAGAUGCUCGAGACUUGGAGCUUGAAGUAACUCAACCACUGACUUCACCUUCUUCAUCACACUCCACAAGUAGUGAUGAAGAAACUACUCCAAGGAAGACCAGAAAUAUUCAAGAGAUCUAAAAUACUUCAAGAAGGAUACUAGAUGAAGAACAUGUUGAUUUUGCUUUAUUUGCAAAUGUUGAUCCUGUAUACUUUGAAGAAGCAAUUCAAGAUGAAAAUUGGAAAGAUGCAAUGAAUCAAGAGAUUGAUGCAAUAAGAAGAAACGAGACAUGGGAGUUAGUAAAAUUACCAGAAAAUAAAAAGGCUCUUGGAGUCAAAUGGAUCUAUAGAACAAAGCUAAAGCAAAACGGAGAAGUGCAAAAAUACAAAGCCAGACUCGUUGUAAAAGGUUACAAACAAAAGUUUGGUGUGGAUUAUGAAGAAGUUUUUGCACCGGUAACUCGCUUGGAGACUGUUCGUUUGUUGUUAGCCCUUGCAGCAAAAAAUAACUGGAAAGUUCAUCAAAUGGAUGUAAAGUCAGCAUUCCUAAAUGGGUAUUUAGAGGAUGAAAUAUAUGUUGAGCAACCCCCUGGUAAUGCAAAGAUUGGAGAAGAAAAUAAGGUGUGUCGAUUAAAGAAAGCCUUGUACGGGCUAAAGCAAGCACCAAGGGCUUGGUAUAGUCGCAUCGACAAUUUUUUCUUAAAGGAUGGUUUCAGAAGAUGUCCAUAUGAACAUGCUCUCCACACCAAAGAAGAUGAAAAUGGUAAUUUCUUGAUAAUUUGUUUAUAUGUUGAUGAUUUAAUAUUUACGGGCAACUAAAAUAUGAUGAUUGAAGAAUUCAAAGAGAGCAUGAAAAAGGAAUUUGAGAUGACUGAUAUGGGUUUACUUCAUUAUUUUCUUGGUAUUGAAGUUAAACAAGAUGAUAAUGAGAUUGCAAUUUUCCAAAAAAAGUAUGCAAAAGAUUUGUUGAAAAAGUUCAAAAUGGAGAAUGCUUAUCCUGCCAGUACUCCUAUGGAAUUGGGUUUAAAGUUAAGUAAGCAUGAUGUUAGUGAAGCUUUUGAUGCCACCAUUUAUAGAAGUUUGGUUGGAAGUUUAAUGUAUUUAACUACAACUAGACCUGAUAUUAUGUUCUCGGUCAGUUUAUUGAGUAGAUUUAUGACAUCACCAAAGAGAAGUCAUUGGGAAGCUGGAAAGAGAGUUCUUAGAUACAUUCUUGGAACUGUUGAUAAUGGAAUCCACUAUAAAAGGAAUGUGGAUAAUGUUCUUGUUGGCUACAGUGAUAGUGAUUGGGGAGGAAAUAAUGAUGAUUUCAAAAGUACUUCUGGGUAUGUAUUUAAUAUUGGUUCUGGAGCAGUUUCAUGGGCAUCAAAGAAGCAAGAUGUUGUAGCAUUGUCCACAAUAUAAGCUGAAUACAUUUCUUUGUUUGUUGCUAGUUGUCAAGCACUUUGGCUAAGAAAUGUACUACAUGAAUUGAAGUGUCCUCAAGAGAAAGGGACCAUCAUGUUCUGUGACAAUCAAUCAUCUAUUUCACUUUCGAAGAAUCCCGUUUUUCAUGGAAGAAGCAAACACAUAAACAUCAAAUAUCAUUUCAUCAGAGAAUUGAUCAAAGAUGGAGAAGUAUAUAUCAGGUAUUGCAAGACUCAAGAUCAAGUUGCAGACGUAUUCACAAAAGCAUUAAAGACAGAUUCAUUCUUGAAAAUGAAAGAGAAGUUCGGAGUUUGGGAAGUCUAGCUUAAGGGGGCAUGUUAGAAAUUAAUAAGUUAGAUACAUUAUGGAUAACACAUUAAUAGAUACAUUUCUAGUUUCAAGAUACAUAUGCAUUUCUAGAUACAUGUAAUUAUUCAAGUACAUGAAUGGUAUGUAUUCAUGUACUUCCUUUAUUUUGUGUCUUUUAGGAAGUGUCUCUUGAAUACUAUAUAUAGAGAUCAUUUCCUUCAUUUGUAUACAAGAUAAAAGAAUCAAAUCAAUAGAAGCAAAUUGAGUUUUAGAAAGUAAGUGAGUUUCAAGAGGACAACAUUCUUCUCUUGUGUGUUAUUGAGUUUUCUAAGAGAACAAAUUUCUUCUCUUAAAAGUUUGUAAGAUUUAGAGUAAUUUUAGAGUGGGCUCGUCAACGCCUCCAACAUUGAUUUCAUUUUUCCAUUUCCACUUGCUGGUUUGUAGCUAAAGAGGGUUUCUAUUUUUAGAUUAUUUUUGUUCGCUUAUUUACCUGUUUUGAUGAGUAAUAUGAAGUGAAAUGUGCAAAUCGUUUUAAUGUGCUUUCAAUCUCAACAGAUAAUGAUUCAAUUAUAAGAAUUAGCUACAUCAUUUAAAAGUAAAUUCAAUUAUGAGAAUUAGCUACAUCAAUUAAGUGAUAUCGAUUUCAUUACUUCUUUUGAUACAAGCUAAAUGGUUGUCAAUUUUAUUUUAUUUUUUUGCUCAUCAUUUAAAAGCAAAUGUUCAAGUAAAGAUUGAGAUGUUUUUGGCUAAUUGCUUCUGUAUAAUCUGAGCAAUGAAUUGUAGAAAAAGGAUAGAUAAAGAUACAUAUGUCUAUCUUUGUCUCGUCUCUUCGUUUUGUGGUAGAGAUAGAUGUCCAUCUCUGUCAAUAUAUAAUAAAUUGCAACAUUUUAUAACUUUCCAACUGGGAGGCCUCCUUCUCUAAUUUGCUCUGCUUCAUAUUUCACAAUCUUCUUCAAAACUUCUUCAACAAGUCCCUAGAAAUUCAGCCAUAAUGCACUCUCUAUUUUUCAGCUCUCAAAUUCUCUAACCCUCAAUUGAAGAAGAGAAAAUUGGAAAGUAUAAGAAGAAUUUGUAUCUUUACAGUUUGGUGUAAUCUUCUUGAUAUUUCUGGAUGCAAUUAAUUCUCAUAUUUUGAACAACAAUUAUUAUUAUUAUUACUUAGGAAACUGAGAGGUCCUAAAGCAACAACUUGAAAGCUAAGAUGAUGUGGAUAUUAUUGGAACUACAAGUUUAGAAACAUCCCAAACACUACUUUUGCGUGAGGUUGAUUCUUUUCCAAACUAUAGAUUUAUUUCUGUCUAUCUUACAUUUAGAUAACUAUUAUAGUUUAUUGUUGUCUAUCCCUUUUUAUUAACUCUUAUACUUUCUUGAAAUAAAUUAAUGAAGAAAAUCAAAUAGAAAAACAGAAAGAAGAUGGACAAAUAGAAGAAAAAGAAGAUAACUAUCAUACUCUAUCGUAGCGUAUGAAAAUGAUGCAUGAAACUACUCUAAGCUUCAACUUGAACAUUUCUCAAACUCAAUCUCAACCUAAGUCUCAAUAUAGAAUUACUUUAUACAUUUUGUAAAGCUUCAAGUUUGUAAAUUUCAAAUUGAACAUUUAGUUAUUUUCUACUUUGUAUAGUUUGUAAGUUUUUUUCUACUGGUUCAAUCAACUUGUUUUAAAAUUUAUAAAAUUAACAGUUUUGCAUUGCUUAAGACGUUGUUUGGUUAUUUGGUUAUGUGUGGUUUAACUUUAGUUCUUGUUAUUAUUUUUUAUCUCAUAUAGAUAGAGAUAGACCUCUUAUCAUUGUCCAUCUAAUAUAGACUUCAAUAAAUGUGUCUUAUAGAUAGACAUAGAGCUAUAUCAUUGUCUAUCUAGGAUAGACAUUGAUACUACUCUAUCGUUGUUUGUCUGAGAUAGACAAAGAUAUAGCACUAUUCAGUAUCUAUCUAUGAUUAGACUAUGAUAAUUCUCUAUCAUUUUAUAUCUGAAAUAGAUAGAAAUAGAAUACCUAGUCUUGCUUGUCUGAGAUGCUUAAUAAUAAUGAUAUAUCAGUGUUAUCUGAGAUAGAUAGAGAUAAAAUACUAUGAUUGUCUAUCUCGGAAAGACAGAGAUAGAUACAUCAAAACCAAGUUGAUUACCUCUAUCAUUGCCAACUAGAAAAUUUUUAAUUUUGUUGAGUUUGAUGUUUUUGUUUAAUUCUUUUGAGUUUAUGUGAGAUAGAGUUCUUAUUAAGAAACAACUUUGUCAAACAAAAAAUAUUUACAUUUCAAGAACAUAAUAAGUCAGAAAAUAUCAUUCAUCAACUGAAAUGCUAAUCCAUCUAUCUAUGUAUUACAAUGCAAAAAAUAUUUAUUACAUCGUUUAAUUAAUUGGGUCAAGUUUGUAAGGUCUACCAUUGUGACCUUUAUGAUUACAAUGAGUAUGGUUUGAUGAAGUUUUAACUUCACUUAGAGAUGGAGUUCUUUGUUUUCUAGGUCUUCCAACUUUACAUUUAACAAUGGGAGGUAAUGUUUUCAUGACAUCAUCUUCCGCUCUCUGAUCCAAAUGAACUUCAAUAGGUCGAACACAAUUGCAUGCUCCUGACAAUAUUAUUCUAUAAUAAAACUCAAAAUAGACGCAAUAUUCAUUCAACAACCUACAUUUAAAAAAAACUAUAAGAAUAGACAUGGUGUUCUACAAAAUGAAAGAAAAAAUAAUACAAGAAACUUGUAAUGAAAAUACAUCACCAAAAUUAUCUAAUUAGAAACUCAUAAGAAAUUAACUAUACAGUGAAAUAUAAAAAUAUACUUCUAUCUUUGUCUAUCUCAAAGACACAUUAAUUCUAUCUCUGUCUAUCACAAAACACAGAGAUAGUUAAAAAUAGGGUCAAGUUUGAUAGGGAGAGAUAUAUCUCUUUGUUUUUUUGAUAGACUUCCUCUUCCCUAAGCAUACUGGAUAAUUCCUUCAAGAGUUAUUCAAGAUUUUAGGAAGAUGACUUUGUGAUAGAUAGAGAUAGAAGUCUAUCUUUGUCUAUUAGAUAGAAAUCUAUCUCUAUAUAUCAGAUAGAUAGAUAGAUUUAUAUCUUUGUCUAUCUGAAUUUUUUCUCUACUAAGAAAAGAAGAAAACACCGUUGUUGGAAAAUCGCAUGUACUUUCAGACGCCCAUUGUCGAGAAAUCAUGUAAAGAAGAAAAAGAAGAAUGUACCGUUUAUCGAAAAUCAAGUGAAUUGUCGAACGCCUUUAAUAAAAAAAAAUCACAAAACAACCGACUCUAUCGAAGAUGAAGAAAAAGCAGCGUGAUGGUAAGAUAGAUCAUUCUCAUUCGGCUGGCUUUUAAGAAUCACUCUCCAACUCGGAUUAGCAAUGCUAGAAUGACUCUUCCUCUUAUCCAAUGGCUCGUCCAGGGUUUAGUCUUCCAAUUGAAGUUAUGCAAUUCCAGUACUAAGAGAAAAAGGCAGCAAUCUCAAUCCCCAUACAUCCUAACAGAGACAGAUUCCCUUGUUGAAUGAGACAGGAUCGGGAGCUUUCAAUGAUGGAGAUUGAGUUUUGAUUGAUGAAGACGAAGAAGGUCGGACGAAAUGUUUUUUGUUGUUGAAAGUUUCCGCUUUACUUUUGUGGGUUUGGCCGAUUAAUCGUGAGGUGAAUAAAGAAUGUGACAAAAAAACGUGUGAGAUAGAGAUAUUUUUUGUAUUUCACAUUGUGGAUGAAAUGUUUGGGUGGAUUUUCCUCCUACAAAAUUUUAAUGGACUAUAAGUAGUUUAUUUUAUUUUCAUAUAUUUAGAAAGAAUCCAAAAGAACUCGUGGCAAGGGAAAAAUAUGACUUUUUUCAAAUAUAGCCAACAUUCAAUCAAAAUUUUGUAUUAAAAACUUCAACAUAAACAUUGAUAAAACUCAUAAAAUAUAGAUGGAAAUUUUGAACUUAAAUGCGACGUAAAGCACCUUAAAUUCCUAAGAUUGUAAAAAUAUCAAUAAAAUAAAUGUGUAUCGAUAAAUAUUUAUGAAAUAAUUAUUAAAAAUAGAAUUUUCAAAUAGUUAAUAUAAAUUAGUUAGUAAAUAUUUUAUGAAUUUUAAAUAGGUUAUCAUGCCUAUUAUUUAUACUGUAGUUACACUACCCAUAUAUUGUUGUAUAUUUUUAAUGUUUAGUAGAUUUUUCUACAACAUAAUAAUUAAAAUAUCAAUGCAACUCUAUUAUCGAUAUCGAACUCAUAAUGGUGUGGAAAUACUAACAUAUCGAAAAAGAUUUAAUACUAUGAUCUAAACAUAAGCCUAACUAAUAUCGGUGCAUUUUCAAAUAUUGCAAAAUGAAUACAAAUAUUUAUAAAAUAUAACAAAUUUUUAGAUACUAUCAAUCACACUUGUCUAUCAUUUAAAUAUUUUGAAUGGUUUUGCUAUUUAUAAGUGGUAAUAAGUAAAUUAAUUUCAGUAAAAAGAAAUAAGAAAUUUGAAAAAAAAGUGAAAUCCUUUCAAGUGCAUUUUGGAAAUAUAGCUUCAACUAAAAGUAGGUUAGAGUGGCUUUUCACAAUAAAUCUGAAAAUGGUCUGUCUUGGCGGUUAAUCAAAUCAAAAUAAAAAAAAAAUCUAUUUGGUAGCAUGACAUCAAUUUUCCAUUUAAAAGAUCAUUCAAAUUAUUCAAAUUUAAGGGGUUGGUUCGAUAACUCUCUAGUUCUUGUUUCUGUUUUUUUUAAAAAAAAACAAAUAUAUUUGAUAACCGUUUCCAUUUCUCAUUUUCAAAUUUUAAAAAACGUUUCUUAAAAUUGGAAAAAUAUUGAAAAACUAUAGAAAGUAGUUUCUUCUAUUUCUGUUCCAACUUUAUUUGAAUCAAUUCUAUACAUUUUUAAUGGUUAGUUGGCUCAUUGCUUUCGAGGUAUGCUUGUAAACUAUUUUUGUCCUCUAAGUCUUGAGUUGAACUCUCAACAUGGAUGAAUUUGUAUUCUUUUUUUUUCAUCUUUUAUUAAUUUUUGGUUAAUUUUCAUAAAUAUAACAAACAACCAAAAUAUUUAUGGCUCGUGUAACAAAAUGAAAAAAGUCAAAAGUCCAUUAAACUAGCCACUUUUUAAAAAAUGUUUCAGAUUUGUCCUCUUCCUUCUUCUUCUUCUCCUUCCUCUUGUCCUUCUUCUUCUUCUUUUCUUUUUCUCUUUCUCCUUCUCCUCCUCCUCCUUCUUCAGCCUAAGUGAUUAAUUGUUUGAUGUUGGUUGUCAAAUCAUUAAUUCAGUUAUGUUUAUGUUUAGGGUUGGUUUAUUUCAAUUUUGACAAAUACUGUUUUAGCUGUUUUAGCUAAUCUCCUGGUAUGAGACUCCACUAUUAGACCCUUGACAUUAUGUUUUUCUUAUUAUGCAUUAACGUAGUUAUGAUGCAUGAUGUGACUGUUAGGAUGGUUAAUAUUAAUAGCUACAUAGACAACAGUUAUGUAUUACUGAGAUAUGUGAUGAUCAUGAUAUGUGCAUCAUGAUUCAUAUAUGAUAUUUAUGUUAUGCUAUAUCAUAUCGUAUAGACUAUGGUGUUCUAUUAGCUUUAUCUGUUAGGUCGUACCAUAUAGGGUCCCUCGGGAUCACCACCUAUUUAUGCCUUUGUGUCAAGCUUUUAUGUGCGAUUCGACGAGAUCACUUACAACCCGACUCCCUUUUAGGCUGUUUCCAUUGAGUUCACUGAUAGUCCAAGUGUGUCCCUACGAGAUCACUAGAUAGCGUGUAUUCGGGAGCACAAUAGUUAUGUGGUACUUUCUUACAUAACUCUAAGACACAUAGCGGGACUAGUAAUGGGCCCCUUAUUGAAUAUAUGUUUAUACUCACUCUUUUCUAUAUGUUUAAUUUUUCAGACAGAGGUAGAGGUAGAGCUGAGUAGAGGUAGAGACAAGCUAGUGAAUGACAAGAAAUGAUCGUAGUUCGCCAUAGGGAACAAUUUACAUUUUCUUUGGCAUUUAUGUUUUCAAUAUUUGAUUUACAUAAAUUUAUUUCAGAACUCAUAAGUACUUAUAAAUAUUUUCUAUCUAUUUCAAAUAGGACCUAAACUGGUAUUUUAUUUAUUAUUACAUUUUUUCACCUACUUUAUUUAUAUUUAUAAAUGCAUAUUUGAAGUGUUUCUUUAAAAAAAAUUGACAUUUUCUUUUAUUUUAAAUAAAAAUUCUUUAUUUGUUUUAGUAGUAAUGACUUCAGCUUAGUAUAAAAAGUUGAGUUGUUACACGAUCCUUACCAAAUCUAAACGAUCAUGUACUAAAAAAUCUUCCAAAAAAUCGUUGAGAUUCAGUUAUCCAAAUUUAAACGAUCAAAUCUAAAUGAAUAUGUACCAAAUAUAAAUAAUUUUAUACCAAAUAAAAACGAUCGUGUACAAAAAAAAAUACUGAAAAAUAUCAUUUAUAUUUCGCUACCCAAAUUUAAACAAUUUAAUUUAAGCGAAUGUGUACCAAAGAAUAGUCAAAUCUAAACGAUCAUAUAAGAAAUAAUAGUCAAAUUUAAAUGAUGUGGGACUACAUUUAUUACGUGUGUUGGAUGUCAAUUAAUCAUGGAACAUUUUUUGUAUUUUCUAUUGUGAGUUUGUGGGUUUUUUUCAUUUUUGAAAUUGUUCUAUAAAGUAUAAAUAUUUUAGCGGUUUGGUGUAUUUUUUAAAAGACCCCUUAAUGUUUCAUUACUAUCUUUUAUAUUUAUAUGUUGUAUUUCUUAAUUUAUUUUAUUUUUUUCUUUCUAUUAUUAAUUUUUCAUAUAUGUUUAAUUUUAGUUUGAAUUUUGAUUUUUUUAAUAUUUAGAUUUAUGUAUUAUGUGCUUUUCUAAUUUCUAAUCUUAUAUUUUAUUUUAUUUUCUAUUCAGCUACAUUUAUGUUUUUAUUUACAUCUUUGAUUUAAUUUUGAAUUUUAAAUUAUUCAAUAUUUUAAUUUAUAUAUAUAUAUUUUUAAAAAAUAUAACAAUCUGAAAAAAUAUUUACAUUGUAUAAAACAACUUUGAAAACGAAAAACGCUCACAAUCCCACGAUGAAAAUACCAAAAAUGCUCUAGUCAACACGCGAUUAACCAGCCACACUCUCGUGUGUAAUUCUUCUUCUAAAUGAUCAUGCAUGAUACGAUACAAUCGUGUAGGUAGUAUCAACAGGAUCGUGUAGUUUUUCUUAAUGAUGGAAAAAAAUACUUCAAAUCUAAACAAUCAUGUUGAUCACGAUAAACGAGCGUGUUGACUAGGUAAGCGAUCAUUUAGAUCAUAUCCACGUGAUCAUAUGCUUCUUUUUAAACAAUGAAAAAAGAGUUUCAAAUCUAAAUUACAAUCGUGUUGACCAUGCUAAACGAUCGUGUUGACUAAGUCGAUAAGCGAUUGUUUAGAUUAUAUCCACACGAUCAUAUAGUUCUUUUUAAACAUGGGAAAAGAGCUUCAAAUCUAAAGGGUCGUGUUGACCAUACUAAACAAUCACGUUGCUUUAAAGCAUAUCAAAGUGAUAUUUAAACGACCAUAAUAUUCUGGAAGAGGAGUUGAAAGAAAGAAAGAGAAGAUGAAGAAAAAAACUAGAAGAUGAAUCAAAAUAGAAAAAGAAAAUCUAGAAGAAAAGCGGAAGAAAUCUGGAAGAGAAGAUAAAUAAAUCGCAAAGAAGAAGAAAAAGAUGUGACAAAUCGUCUACAAUAUCAAGGGCAAAUAUGAAAUUUAUGAAAAAAAAUUACCUACUUCAUGGGUAUCUUGUUUUUGUUACAAAGGUUGUAAAUAUUUUGGUGUUUUGUUACAUUUAUGAAAAAUUAACCCUAUAUAGUAUUUGAUCUUUCAAAUUUAAAUAUUUAAUAUGUUUAUUUAAAUUGUUCUGAAUUAAAAUUUUUAAAUUUUGCAAUAGGCAUGUCCAUAUGUUCAUAUCCACAAUAGAAGUAUAGGCAUAAAAAUAUCUUACUAUUAUUCAUCAAUUUUAUUUAGUUCCAACUAUAGAAAGAAAUUAAUAACCGAUGCUUCUAUCGUUGAUAUAAAUCUAUAGUGAUAAUGAUAGACCGAAAAUGUGUUAUCUUUCUCCACAAUUAAUUCAAGAUUAUUGUUUCUUAGUUUUAUAUGUUUAUUUGUCUAUUUUGUACAUUUGAAGCACCUAAGAGGUAGAAUCUAGGUCAUGGACAAAAUGGACCUAAAAUGGGCUAAAACAAAACUUAAUUGCAACAUCCGAGAAAGAGAACACCGAAAUUACAAAAUUGCCCCUGGUGAAGAAUUUAGUAUGAUAAAGUUUUGUAAUCUUUUUUUUCCAAUAAAAGGUAAAUAGUUUGAUUUUUAUUAUCAAAAAACCCACACAAAACAAAAUUCAUUUUUCUUGAGAAAAAGAAAAAUCCCAUUUGAUUCAAUUUUAUGGACCUACUGCCAACCUGUGUUUUUCUCUUAAUAAAUAGCCGCUCAUGGUAGGUUGAACCAACAAUCAUUAUUUCCUUUACUCCAAUUGCACCCUUAACCCAUAUCUUACCAUUUUUUUUACCACGAUAAUUGAGGGUCGAAGAACUUCAAUUUUGGAUCACAUCUCCUGACUACUUAUGGACACUAACAAUAUUUAUAAAAUAUAGGGAAUUUUAUUUUUCAUUUAUGAUAUACAUCAAGACACAAUUGGUAGAUUUUUAUAUUAGUUUUUAACGUCGGAAUUUACAUUUUUUUAAAAUAUGAUUUGGGUAUCAUAUUUUGGUUUAAUAUUCUUAAAUUGUUAUAAAUUCAUUCAGUAUUUUCAUUUUUAUUGAAUUGCACAAUACUUUUCAUGAGUCUAAGAAAUGUUUUCUAAAGUAUAAAUUUUUAGGAUUGUGCAUAAGAAAGUGGUGGUGAUAAUUAGAAUAUUAGAAUUCUUUGUAUGCAAAUACAAGAUGAUUAAUAUUUAUGGAUAAAGUUAGUGUUAUUGUCUUCAAAUAAAAUUAUAACCAUCAACUAAGAGUAGAAAUUGAAAAAAAAAAAAUAGAGAAGUAUUAGAUAACUCACAUUAAUUAAAGUUUUAAAGUGGAAGGAGGAUUUGAACAUUGAUAAAAUAAAUGAGAAUACAUGGUCUCUUGAAAAUAAAGAUUUUGUACUGUAAAAGAGAAAAAACAUCGAUUACACUUCAUAUCUAUCUACCAUGGCUAAUUUCUAAAGAAAAAACUUCGAAAAUUUGAAAAUUUAAUGCAAAUAUGUAAAUAGAUAUUGAUAUAAAUUUCAAAAUUUGUAGAAACUUGAACAAAAUUUAGGGGAAAUUGAAAUUCUACCCCACUAAAAUUUCAAGAUUUUGACCAAAAUUUUGAACAAUGAGUAACAUCCACCAAAUAGCAUAUUCAAAUAGCUGCAUGCCCAUUUCAAUUUCUUUAUAAUUAUUAUUUUUCUGUAAGCAACAGUUUUAAGAAAAUCAGAUUUUUUUUCUUUUCUGAGUGGUUUGUUUAUUUGAUGAAUGUGUUUUAAAAUAUAUUCUCAAUUACAUGAUUUGAUUCUCUCUUAGGGCGUUUUGGUCUAUUACGGAAUUUAGAAAAACAUCAGUUGGUUUGAUCUUUUUGUUGGCUUUUUUGUAAACGAAAAAACAUUUCUCUAUUUUUCAAAAUCUACUUCUAAUCUUAGCUAUAUGUAUAUAGUCAUGUUUUUUAUAAUAUAAAGUGCAAAAUAAAUUUCUAAAUAAAUUAUUGUUUGUUUUUGUUGGAAAAAGAAUUAACAAAACAAGAAGUCAGCAUAAAUUUACCUUCAUUUUCUUUGAGAUAGCUUUUUCAAAAGUGAAAAUUCCUUGCCAAAAAGAAAAAAAUUGAUUAUUAAAGAUUUAUUUGGUAAGUAUUUGGUGUUUUGACUUUUAAUUUUUUAAAAUCAAACCAAUAAACACUUAUUCCACUUCUAAAUUUUCUCCCCUUUUGAUCUAUUUCCAAUGAAUAUUUUGAAAAUCCAAACUAAAAUCAAUAAAAGAAAAACAUACAUAAAACCACAAAAGACAUUGUUAUUUUUCAAAUUAAUUGAUUCACAAACAUCUACACCAAAACUAAAUCCACCUUCCAACAAACGAACCAAAUUAAUUUAACUUAGACAUCCACUUAACAACACAUCCCACAAAUGUUAACCACAAAUCCAUCUUCCUUUUAUUCUACUCUUUUCCAUUUCAUUAACAGCCUCGUUUGUAGACAGCACAUUUUUCCUGUAUCAGCGUGUCCCUUUUCCUGCCAAGACAACUUUCGUACCGCGGUGGUCGGCCACAGUCGUCUUUCACUACCUGCUUGUUGGCUAUUCUGGUUGGUGGUGAUUUGUAUUUAUCGUAGUUAAUUGACAGCAUCCAUCCCAUCUCCGAUUCCAUCAUGAAUUCGUAAUCUCCGACAUCGUCUCUCACAAGGUGGCAUUUCUUUGAGUGGCUGCUGUUGCAAGAGGCGGAGGCAGCAGUGUCAUUAACGGUGAAGCCGGAAGGAAUGAGGAGGAGAAGGAGAAUGAUGGUCCCGAUGGAUGGUGUGGACAGUGCAGCCAUGGUGUUUGAAGAAGAAAGUCCAAUGGAGAGGUGAACGAGUGAUGAAAUGGUGAAGAGAUAACAAUGAAGAUUAAUGAAACUAUGGAAGAUAUUGAAUUUUGGGGGGCCGUUGGUAGUUGGGGGACUUUGAUGCUUGGAUCCAAUUUUAUUUAUUGAUUCUGGAAUAUUAGAUUGAAUAGGAGGUGAUUUUUAUUUCUCAUUUUCCUUUUCAAGUUAAAAGGAAAAAGAGUCACGUGAUGAUGAUAAUUCAAUAUUCAAGAGUUUAUGUUGUGUGCCUUAUUUAUGUUAUAAAUGUUAGAAUAAGUAAUUAUACGUCUAUUGAAAUAAGAAAUUUUAAGAUCAAUCAUAAACUUUCACGUCAUUUACUAAAUUAUUGAUGAAAAAUACAAAUAAUUGAAUAUGAAAUUAAUUAAAAAAUUAGCAUGUGUUCCAAAUUAAAAUUAGAGACAUAAAUUGGUCAUUUUUGUUGAUGUCACGUAUUGUCAUUAUCACCGCUGGAUCAAUUUAAAUAUUUUAGUUAAAUUAAAUAUUAUUUACUUGGACUAAAGUUCAAUUGAGCCAAAAGAAAAAUAAGUCUAAUUGAGUCUAAAGACUAAAUAUGACUCAAAUCCAUGUAGUUGAGCUCAUGGUUUGCUCCAUGGACUAACAAGACUCAAGCCCAAAAAGCCAAGCAUAGAACUCUAUAAAUAAAAGAGUUCUUAUUUGUAAGGGUUAAUUUUUUUUUACUCUGGAAGGUCUAGAGAGUUAUCCCAAGAAUUAGAAGACUCCCUAACUCCUGAACUUAACCACCCUCGAAAAUUGAAGUUCCUUUGAAGAUGCAAGCUUUCUUCCAAUACUUCAACUUCAAGAACAUCACAUUUUUCGCUUCCUCAAAUCAAGCGUAGGCGUUCAACCAACUUCAAGAAUAUAACGUGUUUCGCUUCCUCAAAUCAAAUGUAGGUGUUCAACCGAGAAUCAGAGGAUCAAAUAUUAGAGAUCCAAGCACAUCGCAUCAAACAACAUAAAUACAACAUCAACACAAACUCAACUCUACAAAUCAAAUUUCUCAAAAAAUCUUGUGCACAUAAAUUGGCACGUCUGGUAAGACAUCUCUACCACUCAUCUCUCUCUCUAAACUCAAAUCAACAAAGCAACUAAUGGCACUAAGGAAAGUUUCAUCCAAAGUAACUUUCGCAAACAACACUUACACUAGACUUGUGACCUAGAGUCACUCAAAGAGGAGCAUGCAAGAACAAGAACAAAGUUUUUUCCUCACAAAGAAAAGUUGGGAAGAACUUAUGGAAUUUUCUAAAGAUGGGAUCAUCAUCAGAGAGAAUACUUUGUUUGUUGACUCUACUCCUGCUUCUGAUCUAUUAGAGAAAGAAUCACACCUUGAAGUAGUGUUUGUUAUGAUGACUAAUAUAACAGUUGAAGCUGCCAUGGCGGAGAUCGAGAGGAAAGUAAACUUCAUGAAAGUUGUGGAGGAGCGAGAUAAAAAAAUUGAUGCCUUGAAAGAUCAAAUUCAAACUUGUGAAACUGCAGUCAAGUCAAACUCCCGUUGUCAAAGUUGGUGAAAAAGGAAAAAAUUGUGGUGCAAGAAGAUCAACCACAACAACAAUUAGCUUAUGUGGCUUCCCUCUUAGUCCAACAACUGCAAGAUAUCAUAAGCUCUACAAGUGCUCAGUAUGGGGGACCACCACAAACUUCUUUUAUGUAAUCCAAGUCAUAUACCAAGAGAAUCAAUGACCUGCGAAUGCCUGAUGGAUACCAACCUCCACAGUUCCAACAAUUUGAUGGAAGGGCAGUCCAAAGCAACACAUUGCUCAAUUUGUUGAAACAUGCGAGAACAUAGGAUCUAGGGGAGACUAACUAAUCAAGCAUUUCGUUCAUAGCUGGAAAGGAAAUGCUUUCAAGUGAUAUACUGAUAUGGAGUUAGAAGUCAUUGACAGCCGAAAACAAUUAGAAAAGAAGUUUCUCAACUGCUUUUAUAGCACUAGACGUGUUGUCGACAUGAUAAAGUUGACAAACACCAGACAAAGAAAGGAAGAGUCAGUCAUUGACUACAUAAACCGAUGGAGAGCUAUGAGCCUGGAUUGUAAAGACAAGCUCAUAGAACUGUCUGCAAUAGAGAUGUGCACCUAAGACAUGCAUUAGAAACUUCUCUAUAUUUUGCAGGGCAUAAAACUCCAUAAAUUUGAAGAAUUAGUUACUCGAGCUCAUGACAUGGAGUUGAGCGUCACUAAUAGGGAAACUAAAGAUUUAUUAAUCUCUGAACUAAAAAAGGGAAAGAAUGAAAUCAGCAACACUAAAAAGAUCACUAAUAGUGUUAGGAAUGAGUCUAUGGUUAUUCCUAAGACUCCAUCGAAAUCUCUCUCCAAAAGAAAAGAAACAAAAAUAGAAAGAAAGCAUGAUGGCAUAGAGAAGCAUCGUCAAUCUCUUAAAGAAAGGCAGAAAAAAGUUCAUCAAUUUCUUGACUCUGAUGUUGCAAACAUGUUAGAGCAAUUGCUAGAAAAACAACUUAUUCAACUGACAGAAUGCAAACGACUAAAACAAGCAAGAAAAGUAAAUGAUCAUAAUUACUGAAAAUACCAUUGGGUCAUUAGUUACCAUGUUGAAAAAAAAUUUGUGUUGAAGGAGCUGAUUUUAAAGUUAGCUCGUGAAAAGAAGAUCGAGCUGAGUAUUGAUGAAAUAGUUAAGACGAAUCAUGUUAAAGUCGAUAUGUCUUUAAGUGUUCCACCAUCAAUGCUACUUUAUGAUUAAAGUGAAAGUUUGAUUCAAUUUGGGACUUUUGAACUUAUAGUUGUUCGAAUCCAACGAAGGAUCAUGACGACAAACCCCCAAAACUAAGAAGAGCCUAUUAAGUAUCAAGUAAAGUGAAAAACGUCAAAAAUAAUGAAAAACCUCAUAAAUGCAUAAUUUUUUCAAUUUUUUCUUAAUACUUGACAGGUUAAAAGGGCAAGUAUAAUUUUACAAGCUUGACAUUUUUUAAAUGUCAUCAAUGACCUAUUUGAAAAACUGAUUAAUUAAAAAGUUAAAGAAAAAGAAAACCUAAAUCCCCCCUCCUCUCCUUCUCCACGAUACUACCUCAUUUUCAAUCUCUACCAAAAACUAACCUAAAACCACGGCAGCCAUGGCCACGACAAAUGACGACGACAUCGACGAACGACGAUGGCAGCGAUAACGACAACGGCUGGUGGUGACCUUCAAUAGUGACCGACGUCUGACGAUGACCCAUGAAGCGAACAUAUCUGCUACACUCGAACGGCUACGGACGAAUGACUCCACGCAAAUGUCAGGAUAUGGGUAUAGAACCUACAAUACUCAUCAGCACGAAAUUGGGUGAUUUUAAUAACGUAUGUCGAAGAAUCACAUCAGCUAUAGAGCAUCCUCAUUUAAGCAUCCCUGAAAAUGAGGCAGGCAGAAGCCGCAAGCAUUAUCACAAGCUCAAAAACCACUCUCUUAUGUUUGUUUCAGGUAUGUUGAUUUAUAUAGUUUUCCCCUCAUUCAUAUCAACAUGAAAAACCUACUUGGUAAUAAACAUUAACAUGUACUGCUAUGUAUGACAGUUUUUGCUUCAUUGGAUGGUUGCAUAAAUGAGUCUGUCAUCCCACCGAUUACUUGUUUUUCAGAAAGGAUGUUUUUAAGUAUAAAGAGGUAGAAGGAUAGAUGGUUUUAAAGUUUAUUCAACUAAUUAGAUUAGAAAAUCAGGUAAUUUAGUUUUCUUAUAAACAACUAUAUAUAUAAAAAUAAUACCAUCUCAUUACGCCAACUAUAAGGCCUUAGCUUGGUCAAAUCAUUAAUUUUACUAUCAUUCAUAUUAUAAAAAUUGUGGUUUGAUUACUCAACACAUGUAGUUUUAAAUUCCAACCUUUGUUACAAAAAUUGUAAUUAAUUUCUUGUUUAGAAUUUAUAUUAUGGAAUAUUAAGAUUUUGUAGUUAUUGCUUAUUCUAAAUUACAACCAACCUUUUCUUUUUUGAGGUCAAACGUACACUUUAAUUAACAUUUGAAAAUUUGAAAUUAUGUUCAAUUGUAAUUUAUAAGUCUUUUAACGUUAAAAGCUAUCAAAUUGUAAUAACUUUUUUGACUAAAAACAAUAGUUUAUGUCUUACUGGAUGAGGAGAAAAUUAAUUUGUAGCACUAAGGUAGUAUGAAAGUAUAUAUGUGCUAGUGUAGUAUUAGAAGUACUUUUUUGGAGGGAGUAAUUAUUGAAAUUUAUGUGGGUACACAUGCUAGCAUACAUGUGUUCAAAAGAAAAAAAAAAAUGAUCGUCAAUUAUUGGGCAUUGUUGAUACUCCACCAUAAAUAUUCAACCCAACAAAUAUUUACCAAGAAUUUGAGAUCAGUAACGAUAAUUACUAUAUAUUGAUUGGAAUUUGAAUUGUUAAGUUUACUUUGGAAAUUAAUAUAACCUAGGGUAAUUUGAAUAAUGUUAAAUUUUAAUUAAUUUAUAUAAACUAAUUAAACUUUAUAAUAUAAAUUUAAUUUUUUUUUAUAUGAUUCAAUAUGGAUAUGGUGAUAACUCAUAAUAUAAAUUUAUAUUUGAAUAAACUUUACAAUAUAAAUUUAUAGAUAGGCCGAAAGUUUUGAAUUGAUUUCAAACUCCAUUUCCAGGGAAGCAAUACCAGUACUAUGGUGCACAUGUCGACGCUAUUAGAAUAAAAAUUUUCCAUGGUACAAUUCCAGCUUCCAUGGUUGAAAUCUCAUUCCAUUAACCACAGCUAGAAUAAAAUUUUUAAACAAAUCUGACGUAAAAUAUGCAUGCAAGCAAAUCAUAAUUAAGAUGCAUUUAUUUGAUUAAAUCAUCAUAAUCCUGAGAUUUCUAAUCAAAUCCCAAGAAUACACAAUUCAAAGAUCAUGUGAAGUAUCCAAACCGUACACACACAAAUCCAUAUAUGUAAAUAACUUCAACCAAAGUUCGAAUUAACAUCUUAAUCUUCUUUAAAACCAAGUUUAAAAUUUCAAUUGAUUUCAAUUCUAAGGUUAAAAUUUGUUAAAGAGGAAAAAUUAGACCCCAAAUUAAACUUAAGGACUUUUAAUUAUCCAGAAGUUAAAAUGGUCAAACUUCCUCAAAUCAAUCAACCCUCAAUGGUCAGCUUCAUCUUCAUCCUGAAGCUUUAGACAACCAAUUUAUGCUCAGCCUACCAUUCCUACUUUCAAUGACUAAGUUAUUUUUUUACGGCCAAAUCCACUCAAAUUAACCUUUACAACCCUCUUACCCAUCAUCUACACUAUCUUACCAAAAUGUUUGGACGUCCGAUUUGCCCUAGAAUUCCUAGAAUAAACCAAUCUUUCAUUCCACAGUUUUGUUUUCGACAAAGAGAUUUCAUACUUCAAAUUCGUUAAUUUCGGCUAAUAUAGUUCAGAUUAAAGACAACAGAACUCUUAAGUUUGGAGCCCUUUCGGGCCUGUGGUCCACGAUUUGAGAAAAAAAGCAAGCACUUUCCCCUGUUCUUCGGCAACUUCAGUAAGCUAUUAAUCUUUGAUUUUUCUUGCUCACCCGUCCCGGAUGUCUCAAUUAAAUCAGUCUCCGGAGCCUAUGCAAAAUAUCUGAAAGCACAAAUUUAAAAAGAAGGGAUUCAUCAAGAACAAAGUUCUAUUUUAUGUUUUGUAAUAGAUUUUAGAAUCAUAUUCUAGUUUUAAAAGAACAGCCCUCAUUCUAUUUUAUGAUAAUGGAGCCCAUUCUAUUAUCAUAAAAGUUCAUUCUAUUAUCGUAAAAUUAGACUUCACAUGCCAAAAUAGUAAAUAAUAAAAAAAUAAAGUUCUAUUUUACGAUAAUAAACUUGUUCUCAAAAGUAACAAAUUUAAAAGUUAAUAAAUCUUUUAGAGUAGUCUGAGAAUCAUUUAAAAAGAAUGUGCAUAAGAUUUCACUAGUUUUUCAAAUUAAUACAACAAAUUAUGAUUAGUGCCAUUAGAAUUAAACAAGAAUUCAAGUUCAACAUUCAUCAAUUCAUUUAUCAAGAGAUUCGUACAAGAUCAAGCAUGGAAUUCAUACAAAAUACAUUAAACUCAACCAUUAAAGUAUAGAUUCUCAAGAAAAUUACAUAUACACUCCUAUUCCCAAAGAAAGUUUCAUCUAACUCUUCUUCAUCCUUGGAGAGGAUGCUUCAUGAAUCAUGUUGAAUGUCAAAGCAAACUUCAAAGAGAUUGAAAGAAUUUUAUCGAUCUUUUAAAAGAAUUUACAUCGUGCCAAUCUUUUGAGAGAAUUUACAAAAUAACCAAGUGUUCUAAUGAAAAAUUAUACAACUUAUGAGAAAAAUGGUCAGAAAGGGUUUUUAUAUUAAAAAGGUUGAAAAAAAGGCAUAAUAGGUUGUAUCGAUUUUGUCUGUCAAAGUUCAGAGUGUUGUUGCAGUAGCGGCUAGAUCGACCUACCUUGUUAAAGCGUAGAGCCGCACCAUGCUAAACAACACAGUGACAUAAUGAAAAAUAUGAUAAAAUUAAUCUCUAUUGCACAAAAGAAUCAAUACAAUUACAAGAUACAUGCAAUAGCCUAAGAAUUGGUACAUGCAAGUUCAACGUCGAAUGACCUUCACUACUUAGGGGAAGUUAAAACAAAACAUUUGAAGGGUUAAACCAAAAUGCCUAGUGAGUGGGAUCUUUUAAACAGGCACUUAAAAUAAAUCAAUUUUUGCCUUAUUGUCACAUAAUCAAAUAUCAAAGCAAAAGUAAUUCAAAUAUUCCACAGUUUAUCGAGUCGUAUAUUUUCUACGCACAAAGUGUUAUUUUGCACAUUCAUUUUGCACAAUCAAUUAUGUUUAUGUGCACCUCUCUCAUUUGCUCAAGUGUUUACCACACUCUUUUGUCAAGUUAUGGCCAUGCGGAGAAGUCUCAACGCACUAGCGAGUAUCAUCAAUUUUCUCACGCGUAAUGCAUCUUCCUAUGCCAGAUCACACAACAAGCAAGGGACAUCCAAUACCAAAUUCACACAGCAAGUAUGAAGCAUCUUAUUCAAAAUCACACAACAUGAGUAGGGCAUUCGACAUUCUAUUCUAGAUCACACAACAAGAAUAGAGCAUCUCAUCCUAGGGCCACAACAAGGAUAAGAUAUCAUAUCAUGUAGGGUACAAAGAUUAUCGUAUUUUGACUUUAAUAAGACUCAUGCAUUUUUCGAAAACCACCAUUUCAAGAUACAAUGUCACAUCAAUUCAAAUGCUUUAUCAUGAGACUUAGAGAGAAUGCCAUCAUAUAAUUUCUUAUACUAUAGGUUUAUUCACAAGAUACUUUUUUUUCGUUUAUAAGUCAUAUUUAAAGGUAGAAAAUCAUGCGGUUCAUGGUUCCAAAUAAUAUAUUAGGGAUUCAUUUUAGAAACCUUUAUUGAUGAAAACACUUAGUAAGAAGAACCACUCACAGUCACAGUCGAUAAGCUCUUAGCCUAGCUUUCAAGGCCAAGGUCUCCCUUACUCGUUUCAGAAUCUUGGUCGUUAGUGAGCUCAUUUCGCUUCUUGAAUCCUUGACACUCCUAGUUCUUUCGUAACAAUGAUCAAGGUAAAAGCAACCCAAAAUGACCUGAACCCUCUAUUUAUAGAUUCCUCCAACGAGUGUUUCUAUGUAGAAAUGAUUUUUCUAACCGACAGCGGGAAGUGGCCCAAUCUCAUAAUGCCACGUACCUCUGUCAACCCUUAACUUGAACUCGGAUUGGGCAACUGGGUUAAUCAAUCACUGACCUACUGAUGUUUGAGUUACAUCAUUGUUUCAAGGUGAAGUGGCCUAGCUCGCUUAUUUGUUUGUCGCUAAACUCUCACCGCGUAGAGGUAUUUUCAUCGUGUCACCAUCUCAAAUUGCGUUUUACAAAAGAGAUCUUCUUGAAUUAUCCCUACGCGCAGCCUUCCUCUUGUUGGUGACAUGGGAUCUGGGCCUUACAUUUUCAUUUUAGCAGUUUCCACAAAAUCAACAAAAAUUGCAUAAAAACAAGGGUUUCAAAUUGAAACUUAUAAAAGCGGGAAAGAAAAUCAUCCCAAAGAUCAAUAGAUAAUGCAAAAUUAAAUAAAGAUUUUCAAAGAAUUAAAACUAAAUAACUAAAAUUUCCUAAAGGUUACCUUAGUUCAUCAUGGAUUUGGAAGAAGCAAAAGAGAUA
Molecule: long non-coding RNA, 60884 nt
Filed under: Cucumis sativus (cucumber)
Lineage: Eukaryota; Viridiplantae; Streptophyta; Magnoliopsida; Cucurbitales; Cucurbitaceae
Description: long non-coding RNA (CSAT_LNC001037)
Source: RNAcentral